UCUGCUGCUACCUGCCCGAGCAAUAAAUGGUGAAUGGAGAGAGAUGACAGUGAAUAAAUAGAGAGCAGAUGUAGGCCUGCACCUACUGUUCACAUGUCAGAUCUGACGUGAAGAAAAGAGAAAAUAGCUACAUACGUGAUCUUUAAUCAAAGAAUACAGCUGAAAUACUCCUGCUUUUACCAAUCUUAGAGCAGCUCGAUGAUCUAGAUAUAGAGAGUAGAUGAGCUCAGGAGCCAGACUGAAUAUCCCAUAUGACAUGCUAGAUCCAAAACCAACGAGGGCCACUCGACGGACGGCGAGAUGCCUCAUUAGUUGGAUGGUAGGGCGCAGUGAUGUGACGGAUGUUAAGAUGAAAAAUCUGUUAGGUAAUCCAAACAUAAGUUAGUUUUAACUAGGUACUAAGUUUUACUCCUUCCGUUUCGAAAUACUUGACUUCCAUUUGUUUAAAAAUGGAUGUACCUAUAUACUAAAACAUGUCUAGAUACAUCUAUAUUUUGACAAAUGGAAGUCAUGUAUUUUGGAACGGAGGGAGUAGUUAUGUGCAAGCUAGCAGGCUGCGUGAGACACAGGGUUGAGUCCGGUUAGGAUUAGUAAUGUGAUCAGCGUUGCCGGUAAUUUGAUUAGGAAAGCAAAGUUGAUCUAGGUGUCAUACGAGUACUAGUCCUAAUUGGGGUAGGUAUGCUAGGUUAGCUUUGGUUGCGUCCGUGUAGGACUAAUGGUCAUACACGUACGUACAGGUCAGGUUGUCUGGUCGGUCAUGGCCUCGUGUGUAUAUAUACACAGCCCCGGCCGUGCGUUUUGUAACCGUGAAGAGAAAAAGAAGAGAAAUAAAAAGAGGAAGAAAAGAGGGCACGACAAGGGUCCCUUGGCUAUCAGUUUUUGUGUGCGUGUGUUCGUCGAAUCUUAUGUGGUCGAUUCUGAGGACAAAUUUCCAACAAAAUCAAUCCAAAUAAUAAAUGUCACACGUGUGGCACGAAGCACUCCGGUCCUGAUAUUUUUAGAAAAAGAGGCGCUUGCCCGGUCUUAGAUUGAGGCCCUUACAAAUGGCAUAAGUCUGUUACUAGGCAGCAUACAAAAAUGAUACAUGCCUGAAGCCGGAUACGGGCGACGCAGCGCCAAAGGGCUAUCGAGGUAGCUAGGGGCAGAGUUGUGCCGGUGGUGUCCCCUCUGUCGGCCGCCGCAUCUCAGUGCACCUUGCUCGCACCUUUGAGGCGAGCUCCUGCACAUGUCCUUUGUCCUGACAUUUUCCACAACUAAAUUUGUCAUUCAAAAAGAAAAAACAAACCCAAUGACCAUAUUAUUAGCUCGUUGCAUAUGCUUCACUCAUCGUGGUCAACUGCUCGAGGGCAAGGAUUAGUAAUUAUUAGCAGCAACCAUGCGCGGAUGAUGCAUCUCGCCGUCGUGGCUGAUAUUUCUAUUCCACGCAUGCAUCAAUGAUGAAUCUNNNNNNNNNNNNNNNNNNNNNNNNNNNNNNNNNNNNNNNNNNNNNNNNNNNNNNNNNNNNNNNNNNNNNNNNNNNNNNNNNNNNNNNNNNNNNNNNNNNNNNNNNNNNNNNNNNNNNNNNNNNNNNNNNNNNNNNNNNNNNNNNNNNNNNNNNNNNNNNNNNNNNNNNNNNNNNNNNNNNNNNNNNNNNNNNNNNNNNNNNNNNNNNNNNNNNNNNNNNNNNNNNNNNNNNNNNNNNNNNNNNNNNNNNNNNNNNNNNNNNNNNNNNNNNNNNNNNNNNNNNNNNNNNNNNNNNNNNNNNNNNGGGGUUGAUGGAGUCGUACUCGUCGUGAUCCAAAUCACCGAUGAUCCUAGCGCCGAACGGACGGCACCUCCGCGUUCAACACACGUACGGUUGGGAGAGACGUCUCCUCCUUCUUGAUCCAGCAAGGGGGAAGGAGAGGUUGAUGGAGAUCCAGCAGCACGACGGCGUGGUGGUGGAAGCAGCGGGGAUCUCGGCAGGGCUUCGCCAAGCUCAGCGGGAGGGAGAGGUGUUACGGGGGGAGAGGGAGGCGCCAGGGGCUUGGGUGCGCAGCCCUCCCUCCCCCCCCUUUAUAUAGGGGCCAGGGGGGGUGCCGGCCCCUGGAGAUCCCAUCUCAAGGGGGGGGCAAGGGGGGACUUGCCCCCCAAGUCAGGUGGGGCGCCCCCCACCCCCAGGGUUUCCAACCCUAGGCGCAGGGGGAGGCCCAUGGGGGGCGCACCAGCCCACCAGGGGCUGGUUCCCUUCCCACUUCAGCCCAUGGGGCCCUCCGGGAUAGGUGGCCCCACCCGGAGGACCCCCGGGACCCUUCCGGUGGUCCCGAUACAAUACCGGUGACCCCCGAAACUUUCCCGGUGGCCGAAACUGGACUUCCUAUAUAUAAAUCUUUACCUCCGGACCAUUCUAGAACUCCUCGUGAUGUCUGGGAUCUCAUCCGGGACUACGAACAACUUUCGGGUUACCGCAUACUAAUAUCUUUACAACCCUAGCGUCACCGAACCUUAAGUGUGUAGACCCUACGGGUUCGGGAGACACGCAGACAUGACCGAGACGACUCUCCGGUCAAUAACCAACAGCGGGAUCUGGAUACCCAUGUUGGCUCCCACAUGCUCCUCGAUGAUCUCAUCGGAUGAACCACGAUGUCAAGGAUUCAAGUAAUCCCGUAUACAAUUCCCUUUGUCAAUCGGCACGUUACUUGCCCGAGAUUCGAUCGUCGGUAUCCCAAUACCUCGUUCAAUCUCGUUACCGGCAAGUCACUUUACUCGUUCCGUAAUGCAUGAUCCCGUGACUAACUACUUAGUCACAUUGAGCUCAUUAUGAUGAUGCAUUACCGAGUGGGCCCAGAGAUACCUCUCCGUCAUACGGAGUGACAAAGCCCAGUCUCGAUCUGUGCCAACCCAAUAGACACUUUCGGAGAUACCUGUAGUGCACCUUUAUGGCCACCCAGUUACGUUGUGACAUUUGGUAUACCCAAAGCAUUCUACGGUAUCCGGGAGUUGCACGAUCUCAUGGUCUAAGGAAAUGAUACUUGACAUUAGAAAAGGUUUAGCAAACGAAUUACACGAUCUAGUGCUAUGCUUAGGAUUGGGUCUUGUCCAUCACAUCAUUCUCCUAAUGAUGUGAUCCCGUUAUCAAUGACAUCCAAUGUCCAUGGUCAGGAAACCGUAACCAUCUAUUGAUCAACGAGCUAGUCAACUAGAGGCUCACUAGGGCCAUGUUAUGGUCUAUGUGUUCACACAUGUAUUAUGAUUUCCGGAUAACACAAUUAUAGCAUGAACAAUAGACAAUUACCAUGAACAAGGAAAUAUAAUAAUAACCAUUUUAUUAUUGCCUCUAGGGCAUAUUUCCAACAGUCUCCCACUUGCACUAGAGUCAAUAAUCUAGUUACAUUGUGAUGAAUCGUACACCCAUAGAGUUCUGCUGUUGAUCAUGUUUUGCCCGUGGAAGAGGUUUAGUCAACGGAUCCGCGACAUUCAAAUCCGUAUGUACUUUACAAAUAUCUAUGUCUCCAUUUUAAACAUUUUCACGAAUGGAGUUGAAGCGACGCUUGAUGUGCCUGGUCUUUUUGUGAAACCUGGGCUCCUUGGCAAGGGCAAUAGCUCCAGUGUUGUCACAGAAGAGAGUCAUCGGCCCCGAUGCAUUGGGAAUAACUCCUAGGUCGGCAAUGAACUCCUUCAUCCAGAUUGCUUCAUGUGCUGCCUCCGAGGCUGCCAUGUACUCCGCUUCACAUGUAGAUCCCACCACGACGCUUUGCUUGCAACUGCACCAGCUGACUGCCCCACCAUUCAAAAUGUACACGUAUCCGGUUUGUGACUUAGAGUCAUCCAGAUCAUGUCGAAGCUAGCAUCGACGUAACCCUUUACGACGAGCUCUUCGUCACCUCCAUAAACGAGAAACUUAUCCUUAGUCCUUUUCAGGUACUUCAGGAUGUUCUUGACCGCUGUCCAGUGUUCCAUGCCGGGAUUACUUUGGUAUCUUCCUACCAAACUCACGGCAAGGUUUACAUCAGAUCUGGUACACAGCAUGGCAUACAUAAUAGACCCUAUGGCCGAGGCAUAGGGGACGACACUCAUCUUUUCUCUAUCUUCUGCCGUGGUCGGGCAUUGAGCCGUGCUCAAUCUCACACCUUGCAAUACAGGCAAGAACCCCUUCUUGGACUGAUCCAUAUUGAACUUCUUCAAUAUCUUGUCAAGGUAUGUGCUUUGUGAAAGACCUAUGAGGCGUCUCGAUCUAUCUCUAUAGGUCUUGAUGCCUAAUAUGUAAGCAGCUUUUCCAAGGUCCUUCAUUGAAAAACACUUAUUCAGGUAGGCCUUUAUACUUUCCAAGAAUUCUAUAUCAUUUCCCAUCAAUAGUAUGUCAUCCACAGAGCUCCCACUCACUUUCUUGUAAACACAGGCUUCUCCAUAAGUCUGUGUAAACCCAAACGCUUUGAUCAUCUCAUCAAAGCAAAUGUUCCAACUCCGAGAUGCCUGCACCAGCCCAUAGAUUGAGCGCUGGAGCUUGCAUACUUUGUUAGCAUUCUUAGGAUCGACAAAACCUUCCGGCUGCAUCAUAUACAAUUCUCCCUUAAGAAAGCCGUUAAGGAAUGCCGUUUUGAUGUCCAUCUGCCAUAUUUCAUAAUCGUAGAAUGCGACAAUUGCUAACAUGAUUCGGACGGACUUCAGCUUCGCUACGGGUGAGAAGGUCUCAUCGUAGUCAACUCCUUGAACUUGUCAAUAACCCUUAGCGACAAGUCGAGCUUUAUAGAUGGUAAAAUUUCCAUCCGCGUCCGUCUUCUUCUUAAAGAUCCAUUUAUUUUCUAUCGCUCGCCGAUCAUCGGGCAAGUCUGUCAAAGUCCACACUUUGUUUUCAUAGAUGGAUCCUAUCUCGGAUUGCAUGGCUUCAAGCCAUUUGUUGGAAUCUGGACCCGCCAUUGCUUCUUCAUAGUUCGAAGGUUCACCGUUGUCCAACAACAUGAUUUCCAAGACAGGGUUGCCGUACCACUCUGGUGCGGAACGUGUCCUUGUGGACCUACGAAGUUCAGUGGUAACUUGAUCAUGAUCGUCAUCAUUAACUUCCUCUCUAGUCGGUGCAGGCACCACAGAAACAUUUUCUUGUGCUGCGCUACUUUCUGGUUCGAGAGGGGUCAUCUCAUCAAGUUCCACUUUCCUCCCACUUCUUUCGAGCGAAACUCUUUCUCCAGAAAGGACCCGUUCUUGGCAACGAAGAUCUUACCUUCGGAUCUGAGGUAGAAGGUAUACCCAAUGGUUUCCUUAGGGUAUCCUAUGAAGACGCAUUUUUCCGACUUGGGUUCGAGCUUUUCAGGUUGAAGUUUCUUGACAUAAGCAUCGCAUCCCCAAACUUUAAGAAACGACAGCUUAGGUUUCUUUCCAAACCAUAAUUCAUACGGUGUCGUCUCAACGGAUUUCGACGGAGCCCUAUUUAAAGUGAAUGCGGCAGUCUCUAAAGCAUAACCUCAGAAUGAUAGCGGUAGAUCGGUAAGAGACAUCAUAGAUCGCACCAUAUCCAAUAGAGUGCGAUUACGACGUUUGGACACACCAUUACGCUGAGGUGAUCCAGGCGGCGUGAGUUGUGAAACAAUUCCACAUUUCCUUAAGUGUGUGCCAAAUUCGUGACUCAAAUAUUCCCCUCCACGAUCUGAUCGUAAGAACUUUAUUUUCCUGUCACGUUGAUUCUCAACCUCACUCUGAAAUUCCUUGAAAUUUUCAAAGGUCUCAGACUUGUGUUUCAUUAAGUAGACAUACCCAUAUCUACUCAAGUCAUCAGUGAGGGUGAGAACAUAAUGAUAGCCACCGCGAGCCUGAACGCUCAUUGGACCGCACACAUCAAUAUGUAUGAUUUCCAAUAAGCUGGUUGCUCGCUCCAUUGUUCCAGAGAACGGAGUCUUGGUCAUUUUGCCCAUGAGGCAUGGUUCGCACGUGUCAAAUGAUUCAUAAUCAAGAGACUCCAAAAGUCCAUCUGCAUGGAGUUUCUUCAUGCGUUUGACACCAAUGUGACCAAGGCGGCAGUGCCACAAGUAUGUGGGACUAUCAUUAUCAACCUUACAUUUCUUGGUAUUCACACUAUGAAUAUGUGUAACAUCACAUUCGAGAUUCAUUAAGAAUAAACCAUUGACCAGCGGUGCAUGACCAUAAAACAUAUCUCUCAUAUAAAUAGAACAACCAUUAUUCUCGGAUUUAAAUGAGUAGCCAUCUCGCAUUCAACGAGAUCCAGAUACAACGUUCAUGCUCAAAGCUGGCACUAAAUAACAAUUAUUGAGGUUUAAAACUAAUCCCGUAGGUAAAUGUAGAGGUAGCAUGCCGACGGUGAUCACAUCGACCUUGGAACCAUUCCCGACGCGCAUCGUCACCUCGUCCUUCGCCAGUCUCCGCUUAUUCCGUAGCUCCUGCUUUGAGUUACAAAUAUGAGCAACCGCACCGGUAUCAAAUACCCAGGAGCUACUACGAGCGCUGGUUAGGUACACAUCAAUAACAUGUAUAUCACAUAUAUCUUUGGUAUUGCCGGCCUUCUUAUCCGCUAAGUAUUUCGGGCAGUUCCGCUUCCAGUGACCGUUUUCCUUGCAAUAAAAGCACUCAGUCUCAGGCUUAGGUCCAUUCUUUGUCUUCUUCCCGGCAGCUUGCUUACCGGGCGCGGCAACUCCCUUGCCGUCUUUCUUGAAGUUCUUCUUACCCUUGCCUUUCUUAAACUUAGUGGUUUUAUUCAUCAUCAACACUUGAUGUUCCUUUUUGAUCUCCACCUCCGCUGAUUUCAGCAUUGAAUAUACCUCAGGAAUGGUCUUUUCCAUCCCCUGCAUAUUGAAGUUCAUCACAAAGCUCUUGUAGCUAGGUGGGAGCGACUGAAGGAUUCUGUCAACGACCGCGUCAUCCGGGAGAUUAACUCCCAGCUGAGACAAGCGGUUGUGCAACCCAGACAUUUUGAGUAUGUGUUCGCUGACGGAACUAUUCUCCUCCAUCUUACAACUGUAGAACUUGUCAGAGACUUCAUAUCUCUCGACCCGGGCAUGAGCUUGGAAAACCAUUUUCAGCUCUUGGAACAUCUCAUAUGCUCCGUGCUGCUCAAAAAGCUUUUGGAGCCCCGGUUCUAAGCUGUAAAGCAUGCCGCACUGAACCAGGGAGUAUUCAUCACUACGCGACUGCCAGGCGUUCAGAACGUCUUGAGUUGCUGGGAAAACAGGUGCAUCACCUAGCUGUGCUUCAAGGACAUAUGCUUUCUUGGCAGCUAUGAGGAUAAUCCUCAGGUUACGGACCCAGUCCGUGUAGUUGCUACCACGUCUUUCAGCUUGGUUUUCUCUAGGAACGCGUUGAAGUUGAGGGCAACAUUAGCGUGGGCCAUUUGAUCUACAAGACAUAUUGUAAAGAUUUUUUUAGACUAAGUUCAUGAUAAUAAAGUUCAUCUAAUCAAAUUAUUAACGAACUCCCACUCAGACAGACAUCCCUCUAGUCAUCUAAGUGAUACAUGAUCCGAGUCAACUAGGCCGUGUCCGAUCAUCACGUGAGACGGACUAGUCAUCAUCGGUGAACAUCUUCAUGUUGAUCGUAUCUGCUAUACGACUCAUGUUCGACCUUUCGGUCUCUUGUGUUCCGAGGCCAUGUCUGUACAUGCUAGGCUCGUCAAGUCAACCUAAGUGUAUUGCGUGUCUAAAUCUGGCUUACACCCGUUGUAUGCGAACGUUAGAACCUAUCACACCCGAUCAUCACGUGGUGCUUCGGAACAACGAACUUUCGCAACGGUGCACAGUUAGGGGGAACACUUUCUUGAAAUUUAGCGAGGGAUCAUCUUAUUUAUGCUACCGUCGUUCUAAGCAAAUAAGAUGUAAAACAUGAUAAACAUCACAUGCAAUCAAAUAGUGACAUGAUAUGGCCAAUAUCAUUUUGCUCCUUUUGAUCUCCAUCUUCGGGGCGCCAUGUUCAUCAUCGUCACCGGCAUGACACCAUGAUCUCCAUCAUCGUGUCUUCAUGAAGUUGUCUCGCCAAUUAUUACUUCUACUACUAUGGCUAACGGUUAGCAAUAAAGUAAAGUAAUUACAUGACGUUUCAGUUGACACGCAGGUCAUAAAUAAAUUAAGACAACUCCUAGGCUCCUGCCGGUUGUCAUACUCAUCGACAUGCAAGUCGUGAUUCCUAUUACAAGAACAUGAUCAAUCUCAUACAUCACAUAUAUCAUUCAUCACAUCCUUCUGGCCAUAUCACAUCACAUGACACUUGCUGCAAAAACAAGUUAUACGUCAUCUAAUUGUUGUUGCAAACUUUUACGUGGCUGCUAUAGGUUUCUAGCAAGAAUGAUUCUUACCUACGCCAAAACCACAACGUGAUAUGCCAAUUUCUAUUUACCCUUCAUAAGGACCUUUUCAUCGAAUCCGAUCUGACUAAAGUGGGAGAGACAGACACCCGCUAGCCACCUUAUGCAACUAGUGCAUGUCAGUCGGUGGAACCUGUCUCACGUAAGCGUAUGUGUAAGGUCGGUCCGGGCCGCUUCAUCCCACGAUGCCGCCGAAUCAAGAUAAGACUAGUAACGACAAGUAAAUUGACAAAAUCGACGCCCACAACAACUUGUGUUCUACUCGUGCAUAGAAACUACGCAUAGACCUAGCUCUGAUACCACUGUUGGAGAUCGUAGCAGAAAUUUAAAAUUUUCUACGCAUCACCAAGAUCAAUCUAUGGAGUUUACUAGCAACAAGAGGGAAGGAGUGCAACUACAUACCCUUGUAGAUCGCGAGCGGAAGCGUUCAAGAGAACGGGGUUGAUGGAGUCGUACUCGUCGUGAUCCAAAUCACCGAUGAUCCUAGCGCCGAACGGACGGCACCUCCGCGUUCAACACACGUACGGUUGGGAGAGACGUCUCCUCCUUCUUGAUCCGAAAGGGAGAAGGAGAGGUUGAUGGAGAUCCAGCAGCACGACGGCGUGGUGGUGGAAGCAGCGGGGAUCUCGGCAGGGCUUCGCCAAGCUCGGCGAGAGGGAGAGGUGUUACGGGGGGAGAGGGAGGCGCCAGGGGCUUGGGUGCGCGGCCCUCCCUCCCCCCUUUAUAUAGGGGACCUGGGGGGGCGCCGGCCCCUGGAGAUCCCAUCUCAAGGGGGGAGGCGGCCAAGGGGGGACUUGCCCCCCAAGUCAGGUGGGGCGCCCCCCACCCCCAGGGUUUCCAACCCUAGGCGCAGGGGGAGGCCCAUGGGGGGCACACCAGCCCACCAGGGGCUGGUUCCCUUCCCACUUCAGCCCAUGGGGCCCUCCGGGAUAGGUGGCCCCACCCGGUGGACCCCCGGGACCCUUCCGGUGGUCCCGGUACAAUACCGGUGACCCCCGAAACUUUCCCGGUGGCCAAAACUGGACUUCCUAUAUAUAAAUCUUUACCUCCGGACCAUUCCGGAACUCCUCGUGAUGUCCGGGAUCUCAUCCGGGACUCCGAACAACUUUCGGGUUACCGCAUACUAAUAUCUCUACAACCCUAGCGUCACCGAACCUUAAGUGUGUAGACCCUACGGGUUCGGGAGACACGCAGACAUGACCGAGACGACUCUCCGGUCAAUAACCAACAGCGGGAUCUGGAUACCCAUGUUGGCUCCCACAUGCUCCUCGAUGAUCUCAUCAGAUGAACCACCAUGUCAAGGAUUCAAGUAAUCCCGUAUACAAUUCCCUUUGUCAAUCGGCACGUUACUUGCCCGAGAUUCGAUCGUCGGUAUCCCAAUAUCUCGUUCAAUCUCGUUACCGGCAAGUCACUUUACUCGUUCCGUAAUGCAUGACCCCGUGACUAACUACUUAGUCACAUUUAGCUCAUUAUGAUGAUGCAUUACCGAGUGGGCCCAGAGAUACCUCUCCGUCAUACGGAGUGACAAACCCCAGUCUCGAUCUGUGCCAACUCAACAGACACUUUCGGAGAUACCUGUAGUGCACCUUUAUGGCCACCCAGUUACGUUGUGACGUUUGGUACACCCAAAGCAUUCCUACGGUAUCCGGGAGUUGCACGAUCUCAUGGUCUAAGGAAAUGAUACUUGACAUUAGAAAAGGUUUAGCAAACGAAUUACACGAUCUAGUGCUAUGCUUAGGAUUGGGUCUUGUCCAUCACAUCAUUCUCCUGAUGAUGUGAUCCCGUUAUCAAUGACAUCCAAUGUCCAUGGUCAGGAAACCGUAACCAUCUAUUGAUCAACGAGCUAGUUAACUAGAGGCUCACUAGGGACAUGUCACUAGUAGAAAACAUGUUAUGGUCUAUGUGUUCACACAUGUAUUACGAUUUCCGGAUAACACAAUUAUAGCAUGAACAAUAGACAAUUAUCAUGAACAAGGAAAUAUAAUAAUAACCAUUUUAUUAUUGCCUCUAGGGCAUAUUUCCAACAGGNNNNNNNNNNNNNNNNNNNNNNNNNNNNNNNNNNNNNNNNNNNNNNNNNNNNNNNNNNNNNNNNNNNNNNNNNNNNNNNNNNNNNNNNNNNNNNNNNNNNNNNNNNNNNNNNNNNNNNNNNNNNNNNNNNNNNNNNNNNNNNNNNNNNNNNNNNNNNNNNNNNNNNNNNNNNNNNNNNNNNNNNNNNNNNNNNNNNNNNNNNNNNNNNNNNNNNNNNNNNNNNNNNNNNNNNNNNNNNNNNNNNNNNNNNNNNNNNNNNNNNNNNNNNNNNNNNNNNNNNNNNNNNNNNNNNNNNNNNNNNNNNNNNNNNNNNNNNNNNNNNNNNNNNNNNNNNNNNNNNNNNNNNNNNNNNNNNNNNNNNNNNNNNNNNNNNNNNNNNNNNNNNNNNNNNNNNNNNNNNNNNNNNNNNNNNNNNNNNNNNNNNNNNNNNNNNNNNNNNNNNNNNNNNNNNNNNNNNNNNNNNNNNNNNNNNNNNNNNNNNNNNNNNNNNNNNNNNNNNNNNNNNNNNNNNNNNNNNNNNNNNNNNNNNNNNNNNNNNNNNNNNNNNNNNNNNNNNNNNNNNNNNNNNNNNNNUCGCUCUGGAAGGCAGGAUACGAUGGUUCGGCUGGUAGCGGAGGGCGGGUUGACGGUUGAGGACUGGAGGUGGCGAUACUGGCAAUGGAGAGGACAUGAAGAUCAACUAGCACAAAAAAAUUGGUUAACCUAUAAAUAGCCAGUCUCUCUUUUUCGAAAUUGUUACAUGAGCCAUCCAUGGUGCGUCAUUUUUAACGUUUAUUUAUGCUGUGUUUUUUACACUGGGAUAAAUAUUGAUAAGCUAAUUUGUCUAACCAAAAAUUGCAUUUUCUUAACUAUUCCUGCAUACCAAAUAAGCUUGCCGCAACAGAAUUUAUGCAUGGCCUUUUCUUGUGAAACCUGGCACUUUGUGUGUCAAGGAUGUUAGCUUCUUGUUCUUCUGUACGAAUUCUUUGCUUCCACGAAAUGCUAAUCAUUUUUUGGCAAGGACACAAAAUAAUAUAGUUUUAUUCUUUUUGGCAAGAACAUGAAAUGAUAAUCCGAAGAUAGACAAAACAAAAAAUCAAGGCGGAAAGCUACUUUCUAGCCAUAUACACUUCAAGGCUGCACAGAGAGGCGGCAACACAUGUAAAAUUCACGUGUCAACAUCAGGUGGAUUCUCUGACUCUUUUUCAGGAAAACAUUGAUUUUGAUGAUUCCAUUUACCGAACUCAUAUAUACAAGUGUGCAGCCCGAACUAAUGCUCACGACCCGUCGCUCAUGUCGCCUCCAGGGUGGCGGCUCAGGCGAACCCUAGCCGCCGCCCCUGACCCCCCUUCCCAUGCUUCCCCGCCGCCGCCGGAGGAGGUCGACGAGCAAAGCUCGCCCGAUGGACGGUGGGCUUUCCUCCUCCCCUGCGUGGGAGCCCCUGUCCAGUCACGACGGCGCCCUUGGGCACCCGGCAUGGCGGCGGAGAUGGAACGCUGUGGUGGCGGUGACGGCUGUGCCACCACGGCUGCGAGGGCAGCGUGGGGGUUGGCCAUGGUGGCUGAUGGCGGUAGGUCUAGGGUUCCCGACCCAGAUCUGUUCCCCUUCGGCGGUGGUCCUAAGGUUCUUCUAGUGUCAAGACUGUGUUUUGCCUGAUGCCGGCUCUCAUUGUUUUGGCCGUUGAUGAGUUCCGGAACGCUCAAUCGGAGAUCUUCAUUGGGUGCUUGACGCUUGUAGAUUGCUGGAUCAGAUGGGAUUCGGUCGUGUGCGCCCCAAAUUCAGCCCGUGUGGCUUCAGGAGGGCGUGACGUGAAGCUUCGUUGUCUGUUGACAUUAUGGGAUAUGUCUGUAUUUUGAUUUCCAUCGUGAAGACAGUGACGGAGAACAUCAUGGUGGCUGAGGUCUGAGGCCUAGUAAUGGCGGAUCGAGUCUUGAGGUGAUGAGGACUUUGCCUGGUAAUUCAUGACUCGUAGCGGCGACAUCGACAAGUGGGCGUGGCAGCACAUGAGGAUUACAUAGCCUUAGCUUCUAGUUGUAAACCCAAGGUCUGACCUUAAUUGGUUGUGCAUGUCAGUGGCCCUGUUGAAGGCAUUGUUUUGAGAGCGCGGAUUUUCUUCAGGAUGAAAACCUAAGAUCUAUGAUCGGGCGACGACGGCCCUUGUGCACUGUUUCCUUCUUGGAGGCGUCACUUUUGGAGAAUUUGGACUUCGGGUGUUGUCUUGGUGGUGGUUCAUGCCGCAGUUACAAGGAAUUGAUCACUGUAGCGGGAUUUUUUGUUUUUCCUUCUUUUUCCUUUUGCUUUUGGGUUGUGUGUGGGAUUUUUUGUUUUUUUCUUAUUUUUCCUUUUCCUUUUCCUUUUGCUUUUGUAGUCACAGAAACCGAGUGUAAUUGAUAUCUCCAUGAUAUUAAUAUAUUUCUUUUGUCAAAAAAUUGAAGUCAUACAUCAGGUAGAGUUCUAUAGCUUCAAGUCAUACCAUCAAUUUUUAGGGUCUGCUAGAGUGGGCAAGGAUACCAAUGAAUAUGCAGUUUUGGACGGUUCUUCCUUUGCCAGUAGGGCGAAAGGGAAUCUGAGCCAGGCAGCCAGCGCGUGGCCAAUCACCAAGGAGCAGCAGCGGCAUUGCAGCAUCUGUGGGUACCAUUACAUCUCCUUCACAAUCAUCAUAUUCUGCCAAAUUUCACAUGCCAGAUCCGAAGACCAACGUCCAACGAGAGCCACUCGAUGCACUGUGAGAUGGCUGGUUAGUUGGAUCGUAGAGCUCAGAGAUAUGCAGAUGGAAAUCCAUCAAACGGUGAUAUUAUUAGAUCGUGGCAUAUGCUUCACUCAUUUUACUUUCUAUGUGCACCCUUGUGUAUGAGCAUGAGUUUGGUUGAGAGACCCAUCUAGCUAAUUAACACCUCGCAUAUGGUCAUCAACCUAUGAAUUCAUGGUGGAACGUGACCGCCCACGAGGCACAUAUAUAAAGAACCUAGGAAGAUCUCCAACUGGCGGCUGAUCUAUGCGGUAUCAGGGAAAGUCCCCCAGGAAAAUGUGUGGAAUGGGCGGAUAGACGCAUUUUCACCGGGGUGCACCUCACUUACAUCGAUGAAUUUGAAAAAAGUGUUCAUGAACUUUUAAAAUGUUCACGAAACUGGAAACAUAUUUAUGAAUUAAAAAAAUGUUUCACAAAUCUGAAAAAAUGUUCACAUAUUUCAAUAAGGGACAUUUACAUUUCCUCCCUAACUUUAUCCCGACCUCAUCUUUACCCCUAAAAAAAUCAGUGCUCAACUAUACCCCUCUUCCGUUUGGUGCCCUUAUGAAAAUACCCUUCCGUGACGUUUCCGUCCGGUCAAAGGCCUUUGAUCAUUAGUGGGCCAUUUCCUGGACAUUUUUACCCUCCCUGCAUAUUUCACUUACAUGUGGGCCCCUUCAUCCCUGUAAAAAAUGAAAAAACUCUCACCCUCACCUCUCUUUAUCUCACUUACAUGUGGGCCUAGCAAGAAAAAAAAGGAAAACUCUCUCUCUCUCUCACCUCUGUCUCUCCCAACUCCGGUGAACCCGAUGCCCGACCUGUGGCGCUGCGGCCGUGAGCUCCGCACCCGUCUUCGCGCUCCCCUCUCUCUCUCUCUCUCUCUCUCUCUCUCUCUCUCGCCCUUGUUCUCUCUCCCAUCUCUAGCCCGCUCCCGCAAGAACGCCCGAGAGCCCAGGUCAUCUUCCCCGCCUUUGACCUCAGCUCGCCGCCGUCGAUUUGUUGUCGUGGAAGUUCCCCGCCCGAUAUCUGCCGCUCCUCGAGGAUCCCGAGGUGUCGCCGAAGACGUAGGCGUCCUCCACUGCAAGCCAAGUGACCUAGGGCCUCUUCCCCGCGAGCUCCAAGCACUGUCAUGGCCGCUGCCGACGCGAGAUCGGUCUUUGUCAUUGACUCCGGCGACGUAUGGCCCUAACCCACCACCUCUCGAUGCGCAGAGCCAGGGCUAUUGCCGGGUGCCCUUGGUCGGCAUCCCCGCGGCUUCGCGACGUGCCUCCGCCGAAGGAUUUGGUCGUCGCCGGCAAUCCUUAGACCAAACCCUCUAUUAUCCUUUUCUUUUUGCUUUUUGUUUUUUGUUUUUUUUCUUGUUUGGCCCACAUUUAAGUCAGACAAAGAGAGGUGUGUGUGAGAGAGAGUUUAAUCUUUUUUCUUUUUUGUGUGGGUCCCACCUGCAUGUGACAUAGGCAGCGAGGGGUACAAAUGUCCACAGAACAAGUCACUAACGGUCAAAGGCCUUUGACCGGACGGAAACGGCACAGAAGGGUAUUUUCAUAAGGGCACCAAACGGAAGAGGGGUAUAGUUGAGCACUGGUUUUUUUAGGUGUAAAGAUGAGGUCGGGACAAAGUUUGGGGGGAAAUGAAAUCGACCCUUUUAAUAAUGUUCAUGAAUUUGAAAAGGUGAAAAUUUUCUCUGGAAUUUGGAAAGGGACAUAAAAUGAAGAAUGAAAAGAAAGUGAGAAAUAAAAAUAAAGUAACCGAACAGGAAAAGGAAAACCACUAAACUGGCAGAGAACACAGAAAAGACCCAAGCGAAAGAACCUUAUAGUGUUCCUAGAAAAAAACUCUCAAGACACUUCCCCAUGGCCAAUCCUAUAUGCGGCCCACGGGUGGCAAAUAGAUGAGGCAACGCCAACAGUGCGGCACCGUUGGCCAGCCUAGUACUCCAUUUUCCCGUGCAGUUGUUUCGUUUGCAGACGCUACUUUUUCCGUUUAGCUUCCUAUCUGUCAUUUUUUUGGUUUUUUGUCCUGGGUAUUUUCGGUAUUUUCAUUGUUUUGGUUUAUUCAUUUUUCUCUUUUUCCACGUUUGGUUUUUUUUCCAGGUAUUCCUUCUGGUUUUUAUUUAUUUUGUUUCUUUUUCUCAUUUUGUGUAUUCUACGAUCAUCAUAAAUUAAGAAAAUGUUCACCAUAUAUUUUAAAAAAAUUCAAUGUGCAUUAAAACGUCCAUUGUAUAUUAAGAAAAUCUUCAACAUAUAAUACAAAAAUGUUCAAUGUGUAUUUACAAACUCUUCAGCAUAUCGUAUUAAGAUGUUCAUCAUAUAUUACAAAAAUGUCACCAUAUAUUAAAAUAAUGUUCUUUGUAUAUUAAGAAAAUUUACAAGGUAUUUUACAAAAAUGUUUAUUCAAAAAUCGUUCAGCAUAUAUUAAGAAAGUUCACUCUAUUUAAAAUGUUCAUAAAUACGUAAAUGCCCUUUCCUUAAAAAAUCAAGUUUUCUGAGAAUUUUUAGAAUUAGAAACGUGAAAAAAAUGAUUCGCUACAGCCAAUCGAGCUACAGUACUUCUACAGAGAAUAUAGUGCUUUGCAGUUGCUACAGUGUUGGACAGCCCAGUUGGAUCACUCCCUGUGCGAGGCCGCAUCAAUUUGACGCGCACAGGCAUCCUAUAGGAGCUCUCCUUCCCGCAGCAAGUUUUUUUAGGAUUGCCAACACUUUAUUGAUCAAUUUUAAUGUUUAUGGGGAUACAUGCUGGGUCAUGAGGAUGAAUAACCCACAAAUGGCGACCUUGAUCAAGCAUAGCAGAGUGUUUGGCAAGAUUGCGAGCUUCAUAAUUUGAUGCUCUUCCUUCCCGCGGCAAAUGGAGAAUAUGAUUUCCCAUCCGCUUCGUUUCUUUUUUUAUCCAGCUAUGGGCUAGCCGACCAUGUUCCUAGUAUAGGCUUGGAUCGUCCUUUCAACUUCAAAAUCAUGCGUGAUAUGACCCAUGCUAGCCAAGAUCCUAUUUGGUGCUCUAGGCGCUGGUUCCUUCAUUACUCGUAAAUGGGGCACUUUUUUUUUAUCUUUUUCUUUAGAUUUCAUUUUUUAUUUUGUUUACUUUUCCGUUUUCUUUGGAUUUUCUUUUUCUUUACUUUGUUCCCUUCAAAUGCAUGAACUUUUUCUCAAAUUUGGAUAUGUUUCUCAAAUUACUCGAUGUUUCUUUCAAAUUCGUGAACUCUUUUCAAAUGCGUGAACUCUUUUCAAAUUGGUGAACAUAUUUUAAUCCACGAACUUUUUUCAAAUCUGACAAUAUUUUUCAAAUGCAUGAACUUUUUCCAAAUGCGUGAACUUUAUUCAAAUCUGUGAACUUUAUUUCAAACUUGUGAAUUUUUUCAACUGUAUAAUUUCUUUCAAAUUGAUGAACUUUUUCCAAAUAUUCGAACAUUUUCAAAUUGAUGAAAUUUUUACAAAUUCUCAAACUUUUAAAAUUGCUGAACCUUUUUCAAAUCCAUGAAUGUUUUCCAGAUGUGGGAACUUUAUUCAAAAAAUUUAACUUUAUUUCAAAUUUGUGAAGUUAAUAAAAUUCAUGAAAUUUUUUCGAAUUCACAAAAUUUUCAAAUGUGUGAUACUUGUUCAAAUACAUGAAAUUUUCCAAAUGCGUGAACAUUAUUCAAAUCAAUCUUGAAGUUUUUCAGUGCGUGAACUUUUUUAAAUUUACUUAACAUUUUUUAAAUGCGUCAACAAAUGUUUAAAAUAGUGAACCUUUUAAGAAUUAACGAACCUUUUGCAAAUUGAUGAACUUUUUCAAAUUCGUGAACAUUUUGUAUCUCAUGAAUUUUUUUAGAUUCCCCCUUUUUUUAAUUCGUGAGAUUUUUUCAAACCCACGAACAUUUGUUCUGUUUCACCAAAUUUUUUAACACUGAAAAACAACCGUUCUGGUUUUUCCUUCCGGAACUUAAAGAUUUCUAUAGAGCGAGCAAAAAAACGAUCUGUAGACGACGGUGUAAAUCGUUAGCGAGCGAUUCGUGCGAGCGACAGAACUGCCAAGUCAUGGGGUGGCCCUCGUCCGUCGGCCCCUAUGCGCUGCAGCAAGAAACUGACGCUUAGCACGCCGAAUAGUCGCUCUCCCAUACUAGUUAGUGGGCAGGCUCAUUUUUAUCUGUUAAUUUAUCGUUCGCUGGUAUUGAUGAGGUGAAUGGUUUCCUUCGCUACAUUAUUUUCUCUUUUUGGGUUUGUUCUGUUUCUUCUCAGUUUUUUCUAGUAUUUCUGUUUUUCUUUAUUUUUGCAACGGUUUUCCUCGUUUCUUUCUUGGAUUUCAAUUAUUUGUUUGCCUUUUACAUUUAUUUUUUACACUGGUUUUGCUUCUUUCUUUCUUGGUUUCCACUGAUUUCUUUCUUUCUUUCUUGUUUCCUUUCUCUGUUUUUCUUCGGUUUCCUUUGUUUUUAUUUUUAUUUUUGUCCAUUUUCACUGAUUUUUUACACGCGUCUACCUUUUUUCAAUACACAAUAUAAAUUUUCAGUGUACACGUGAAACAUUGCUUUGAUACACAUUGAACAUUGUUCAAAUACAUGAUGUACAAUUUUAUUUUUAUACAUAUUUUGAGCCCUUUUUGAAUACAGGGUCAGCAUUUUUUCAAAUACAUGUUGAAAUGUUUAAUUGUAAUAAACAAUUUUCUAGAACUAUGCAAACAUUUUUUGACAUUGUAUAAACAUUUUUCUAAAUGCCACACACAUAUUUUUAAGCACGUGAACAUUUCUUUAAAUGUCAUGCACCACUUCUAAAUGGUAAUAAACCUCUUUUAUACUACACAAACAUAUUUUUACAUUGUGUAAACAUUUUCUAAAAACUUCACAUACAUUGGUUUUAAAUGUUGGCACAUUUUUUCAUGCCAGGAACAUUUCUUAUAUAACACUAUGAACUUUUUUUAUUUCUUUCACAUUUUUAUUGUGUGUUAACAUUUUUUCAGAUUUAUGGGUUUUAAAAUUUUAAAAAAUAUAUAUAAACAUUAGCAUUAAGUCAGUGCGACGGGGCGAGCCCAUUUUUGUGCUUGCACGUGCCGGCGAGGGUGAAGCGCUGCUGCUGUGUUGGGCGGGGGCCCACUACGGCUCCUCUUGACAGGAGGUUGCCCUACAUCGCUCUAUAAGCGAGACAUGCCGGUAGGCAACAUGCACAAUAUAAAUUAUAACUUGUACUUUCAUUUUUACACCUAAUUCCCUAGAACUAAAACUCAAGUUAAUCAUGUAGUGGCACGACAAGUGUUUCCCACAUCACUAAAUCGUUCUCUAUCGCUUUCUCAUAAGUCCAUCGUCAUCACGUACUAGAAAUAUAAAUCAAGGAAAGAAUCCCUAGGCCGAUCCACACACUUCGUCCUAUUUGAAAAAUAUGAGAAAAAUCUAUACUACAUUGCAUAAGCAAGAACAUAAGCUGUAUACUAUUGUGGUAGUAGGUUUUUGCCCCAUAGUGACUGUUAAGAUAAUGUACAUUUGCAGCGGGUUUCCUUCUAGUUGCCCCAACUCAAUACCCCAUCUUCCCUCCCCUUCUAUGUUCUUUUUUUCAAAAAGAAGGUUGAAACCCAUGGCCUGCGCAUCAUUGUGAUGCACUGUAUAUUUAGCUUAAGACUUUGUAUUUCCAUUAAGCAAUCAAUGAUAAAGGGUAGGCCUGGUUAUAAAAAACUUGGUCUGAAUCCAUUUUUGUGACUGAUAUACCUUUUCACGCGUAUACCCAAAGUGUAGGUGCAACAAGCUUUGUGCAACCAAAGAGUUGCAGGAGAGCAUCAACCUUGACGAAGUCGUGUCUUAAUGAUUUGUUGUCAAUGGCCUCAUCCUCACCGAUUGGGGGAAAUGAUAAUUAUAGGACCCGCUAUUUGUUCAGUGUCACGAUCCUGCUCAUUGUCCAGGAAGCGCCAUGACAAUGCUCACCCAGCGGAACACUACCAUCUCGGCCAACAAGAAGGAGCAUGUCUUCCCUACCUACUCUGAUAACCAGUUGGGCAAUCGUGAUGCUGGUCUUCCAGGUUUUUCUUGUGAAACUAUACCCCCUCCCUUCGGCACCUCUUGGUCAACUUUCGUUAAGGAAAACGUCAUCGACCAUAGUUCUUACAACAAGACAAACUAAAUGGAAAACAUGCAAAAAAUAAAACUUAAUACAUUUAGACGAGGGCGUGCGGUCUGAAUCUCGAAGCAACCAGGAACGGUUGAUUCUUUGCCGGUAGGUAAUGUACACUGUAUAAAUUACUUUCACGCAGUAAGAACAACAAAUUAGCCAAAAAUUUGGAAAUGUAGCAAGUUUGUUUAGCAAUUGUGAGUAGCUACCGUGAUACCAACCCAUAUAGCAAAUCUGCUAGAAUUUGUUUUUUCCAUUCAAAAUUGAUAUGUUUCCAUAGCAAAACUGUUGGACAUGCUCUAAGAGAGAUAAGUAAAGUGGCAACUGGGGCUGCAAUCUGACCACACGCUUUUCUCACAGCGAUCUGCGCAUAGUCCGGCGUUAAUUGGCAUUACGAGUAAAAUACCGUCAUAGGUCUGCAGGGUAUCUGACUUGGCAGACGAAGCAGGUGCACAAAAAGGUUGACAUGGUCUGAGAUAUUCCAAUUAUUUACUGUGGCGGGUGGUUGGGGGUUGUGGGUGAUUUGCUUCGUGCAUGCCAGCGUGCUGUCCUUGGUCUAUGCCUCGUACGCGCUUCUCAGGUCGCCAUCACACUCAUGCUUAGUAGUAGUACAUCGGUGUACUGCUAAUGGAAAAUCUAGGCUUCGUGUUAAAUUAAUACGGAAUAGUUCUUACAUGGCAGAUCUCUAAUUUUAUUCAGUAGUGGUCGGACACCGCUUGCACAAGUACCACCGCGAGCAUGAACACGCAUAGCAUUUGUGUGUUCUUGGUUCGUUGCGUGCCUGCGUACGUCCUGCAGUGCUUCCGCCAUCCUGAACCUGACAUUGUUGCCGCCCCCAGCAGUUUGGAUUAGCAGAUUGAUGUCCACUCCUGUGAUGAAGAACGUGUACUGAUUCUCCCAAAGCCAAAAAUCACAUGGUCCGUGGUUCUGCACGUCCCAAACGAAAAUGACAUGUGCAUGUUAAAUCAACAAGCUAGUUACUUAUUGAUUGAUUCGGGCACUUGUAGAAAUGGAUGCCAGGGAGCACAAAGUUGUACUGGUGCGUGCUCUUAUAGCUGGUAAAAAGAAAGUACGUCAUACAUUAUCGCAAUGGCACAUAGCAAUGGCAAUGGUAUAUGCGUUCAUACUGCCAGAAUCACGAAGGCCCACGCCGGGGGCAACUGUCGGCUCCAUACUGACAUUUGCAGCAUGCACUUGCCUUUGUGUCAGGUUGUUCUGCCUAUAAUACAUAUAUAAGCUACAAAACGAUGUCUGACACCCAUAUACUCUAACUAGCAGCCUGCUCUGUUCCGAAUCGCAAAGGCCUGCGCGCCGUCGAUGGCGUGGGAUCAGAUGGCGCUGCGUCCAGUGCUGCACUUCUCGGCAACUGGGUAAUAAAGAAUGUAGCCAUAAUAUUAGUAGAUAGUCGAGUUAAUGGUUGUGAAAGAGAAUAUGUCCAUAUAUAUAGUACCCGUGACAAAAGUGCAGCAGCCCCAUCAUCACGACAUCAUAUCACCAUUCUGGUUCUUGUUCUUGGUUUAAACUUUUGGUACUAUGACAGAAGUUAAUACUUAGCCUUGCACUGCACAAGCGGGGGCGGAGCCAGAAAAAAUUUGGCCAUUGGAUUCGCUCAUUGACUCGUCAUAAGAACUUGGCACUAUUUAUGUUUCAGGCGUUAAUUGCAAAUGCAUCACUCUCAGUUUGUCCCUCAUUGUAAUCUUGAAAAGGUAGCAGCACAAACAGAAGGCCUUAUGCACUUUGUCACUAUACUCAAACCAAUGAUCAUAUUCAUCAAACCAAUAUGGAUUAAAUCACUUUUGAGUAUCUCCAAUCUCUCUCUGCGGAUAAUCAAAAUAAAGUGGCGGCCUAUAAAGUUCCCUCGCUAAACAUCGGUGUCUUGUCUCAUCUUGCUUCUUAGGAUUUCUUGUGCACUCUAAAAUUCUCUUCCGAUCAACGGGAUCAUAAAGCAACCCAUCUAAAUUAAUUUAUACAUGAAUCAAAGCCUUUGGGAGACUAGCUGCAGAGACAUUUGAUAGACUUGCCUACACCUAACGGCAAAUCUUGAUGUGAUUGUAUCAUUAUCUGGAUCUAUUUCUUUUUGAUAAAUACCGUUCCAUAGCCUAGAUCAAUCAAAGUCCAUGCAAAAUACUGUCUGAAAACUAGGGCAACUUUUUUACAAUCGUGUUAGGGUAUAUAUUAUGCAUUCACAAGAGGUAGGAGACGUGGCGGGUAACCUAAUUACCUCAAAUUCUGAUGUCUUGUCGAUGUCGAAUUGUCCAUCUGCAGCGGUCUGCUCGCCGCUGGCAUCCGGCGGCCGAGCUACCCCUCAAGAUGCGAGUUGAGAAAAUGAACAGAGGAGAGUCCCCAGGCGUGUGGCGGCCGUGCGUAUACAAACAACAUGGUACGUGACUAAUCAACAGGGCCUGCUAAUCAAGUCAAGGUGUUUUAGGCCUGGGCAUGCGUACGUGACUAAAUAAAUGACUAAUCAAGACAUUUGCUUGUGGGCUUUUGGGCCUUCGCUUAGCUAUCCACCACACAUUAGAUGGGGUCAGCCUGGACUUUGUAUUGGGUUCAACCAAGCAAACAUGCAUGCCUACACACACGUAGCAGAGAAAAUCUGUUGGGUUCACUUGAACCCAACGAUUGUAUGCUGGCUCCGCCCCUGUGCACAAGUUUAUAGAUGUCUUUAUAUAUAAGUUUUCGUCUUAAACUCUUAAUUUUGUACUUGAAUUCUUGGCAUGUUUCUUUGUGUCUUCUUUGUAACAUGCUUUUAAGGGGAAACUACGUCUUGGUGUAGCAUUUCUAAACCUGGUCAAGAUGUGGACAUCUUGUUCCACUAAAACUAAAGUGGCAACUGGUAAUAAAUGGUAGCCAUAUAUUGUAGAUAGUGAAGAUAAUGGUUUUGAAAGAGAGUAUGGCCAUAUAUAGUAUGUAACAAUAAUAAUACAUGUGACCAAAGUGCAGCAAUGCCACCACGACAGCAUAUUACCCUUCUAAUUAUAGUUUUUGCUUAAAAUUUUAGUUUGACAAAUCUGUAGUAACCUCAUGCUAUUCUGCCCUUUUCACCGGCUCUACUACGUCCGAGCACUGGCGCCUCGUGUGGAAGUCGAGUGCCCCCCUCUCUGUCAAGUUCUUCAUUUACCUUGCCUCCGUCAACCGUUGUUGGAUGGCUGACUGGCUUGAACGCCGGGGCCUUCCUCACGAGCCGGUAUGUGUGCUGUGUUCCUAACAUGCGGAGACCCUUCAGCAUCUCCUGGUGGAGUGUGUUUUCUCUAGCAUAAUCUGGCAUGGCGUUCUCUCCUGGUGUUGCCCUGAACUCACCAUACCAGAUGGCUCCCUUUGCUUCCUAGACUGGCUGAGCUCAGCCCUUACCAUGGUGACCCAAGAUAAAAGACGAGGACUCUCCACCAUUGCCGCCUUGACGGUAUGGUCCAUUUGGCGCCGCCGCAAUGCGAUCAUCUUCGACAAGAUCACACCCUCCUCCGCCUGGCUCCUGGCUGCGAUCCAAGACGACGCCCGCUUCUGGGUCUGUGCAGAAGCCAAAGGAUUGAGUAGUAUCAUCCCUGUAACAUAGACUGAUACCUGAGCUGAGCAACCCAUUCCAUGCUCACUAUGCAUCUCGGACACGCCUUGCAGUGUACGUGCCCCCGAUGCUUAACCUGUAUGUUCUCCCCUCUCUAUCAAUGCAAUGAUACGCUGACCGUAGCGUAUUCGAGAAAUGUAGUAACCUUGUAACAGGUUUUUUUAACACAGUUCACUCGCCCCUACUUCUUCAUAUAGUGAAACUACUAGGGUUACAAAUUUGUAGUAAACUUGUAAAAAAAAUAGUAACCUUGUGUCACUUUCUAUCACCUUCUUCUUCGGCUGAGAUUGAUGGGUAGGCAAGCACGUCCCUACUUUCCAUAAGUGAAGCUACCAGGGUUACACAAGCUAGUACUAAACAUAUUUUAGUUAGCAUUGCACCGCACAAGUAGUUUGCGUCUUAUUAAUUAUGAGCUUGCAUUCCUGGCAUGUUCUAACAGUGGAAACUACGUCCCGGUGUAGCAUUUCCAAACCUGUCAAAAUGUUGACAUCUUGUUUCACUAAAAGAUCAAUAUACUCGUAGUGGCCACGUUUGGUGGCCUCCUGAGGUUCAAAGCUUAAUCACAAAGCUAUCUUUUUUGUUUCCAUCAUUAAUUGUACCUUGCACUUCCAUUUUUACACCUUAUUAUAGCUUAGAACUGAAACUGUAGCUGACCACAUCACCAUCACCAUCUCUCUCUCUCUCUCUCUCUCUCACACACACACACACACACACACACACACACACACACACACACAUAAGCCUGUCACCGUCGUCACAUACUAGAAAGAGAAAUCAAUGCAAGAACCUCUAGGCUGAUCCACACACUUUGUCCUAUCUGGAAAUAUGAGAACGCCUAUAUUGUACUAAUUCCAUAAGGGCCUUUCUAAUCGACCCCAUAAAAAAUAGAUGAGUAAACCUUAGUGGAGUAUAUUUACUCCACUAAGUUUUGGCCGGACCUAGCCGAUCCCCUAUAUUUUUUUUGGAAAAGGGGGACUCCCGGCCUCUGCAUCAGAUCGAUGCAUACGGCCACUUAGAUAAAUAAAAUAGGUUCAACAAAGUCGAAUAGUCGUAAAAGAAAGCAACGUCGAGCUCACAUAGACCUCGACACGAAAACAAAAAAGGCCAUAAAGCCACAACCGGCUGGCAGAAAUAAAGGUAGGAAAACUAAUUGCCUAUCCUAUUACAUGACCGCCAUCCAAACCGGUUGAAGAUAUCCCGCGCUACCAUCUCCCACCCGACAGAUCCAGUAACCAAACGCUCCCUGGCCUCCGUCGGAGUGAGUAGGGACCACAUACGGAUCAACGCCGUAGCACGGAAUACAACCUGCAAAAAAUGCAUAGUAGUUAUUCUGUUAAAAGCCAAAUCAUUUCUGCAGUUCCAAAUUGCCCACAACAAUGCACAAACUCCUACACGAAUGUGUCUAGCUGUAACGGACUCUAUCCCAUCCAGCCACGUUCCAAAUAACGACCCGACCGAACUCGGAGGAGUAAUGUUAAAAGCAAUUUGCACGGAGCGCCACAAAAUUCUUGCCAACGGGCACUCAAAGAAUAGAUGCUUGAUGGUUUCAUCCCGAUCACAGAAACUACACCUAGUAGAUCCUGUCCAAUUGCGCUUAACCAAGUUGUCCUUUGUUAGAAUGACCUGUUUAUGGACAAACCACAUAAACACUUUGAUUUUCAAAGGAACUUUGACUUUCCAAACAUGUUUGGAGUUAGGAAUGAUACUCGAGUUAAUAACAUCGAUGUACAUCGAUUUAACAGUAAAUUGUCCAAACCUAGUAAGUUUCCAACACAACUGAUCGGGCUGGUGCUGUAGCUGAACUGAAGGAAAUAUGCCCUAGAGGCAAUAAUAAAAGUAUUAUAUAUUUCCUUAUAUCAUGAUAAAUGUUUAUUAUUCAUGCUAGAACUGUAUUAACCGGAAACAUAAUACAUGUGUGAAUACAUAGACAAACAGAGUGUCACUAGUAUGCCUCUACUUGACUAGCUCGUUAAUCAAAGAUGGUUAUGUUUCCUAGCCAUAGACAUAAGUUGUCAUUUGAUUAACGAGAUCACCUCAUUAGGAGAAUGACGUGAUUGACUUGACCCAUUCCGUUAGCUUAGCACUCGAUCGUUUAGUAUGUUGCUAUUGCUUUCUUCAUGACUUAUACAUGUUCCUAUGACUAUGAGAUUAUGCAACUCCCGUUUACCGGAGGAACACUUUGUGUGCUACCAAACGUCACAACGUAAAUGGGUGAUUAUAAAGGUGCUCUACAGGUGUCUCCAAAGGUACUUGUUGGGUUGGCGUAUUUCGAGAUUAGGAUUUGUCACUCCAAUUGUCGGAGAGGUAUCUCUGGGCCCACUCGGUAAUGCACAUCACUAUAAGCCUUGCAAGCAUUGUGACUAAUGAGUUAGUUGCGGGAUGAUGUGUUACGGAACGAGUAAAGAGACUUGCCGGUAACGAGAUUGAACUAGGUAUCAAGAUACCGACGAUCAAAUCUUGGGCAAGUAACAUACCGGUGACAAAGGGAACAACGUAUGUUGUUAUGCGGUCUGACCGAUAAAGAUCUUCGUAGAAUAUGUGGGAGCCAAUAUGGGCAUCCAGGUCCCGCUAUUGGUUAUUGACCGGAGACGUGUCUCGGUCAUGUCUAUAUAGUUCUCGAACCCGUAGGGUCCGCACGCUUAACGUUACGAUGACAGUUUUAUUGAGUUUUGAUGUACCGAAGGAGUUCGGAGUCCCGGAUGAGAUCGGGGAUAUGACGAGGAGUCUCGAAAUGGUCGAGACGUAAAAAUUGAUAUAUUGGACGACUAUAUUCGGACUUCGGAAAGGUUCCGAGUGAUUCGGGUAUUUUUCGGAGUACCGGAGAGUUACGGGAAUUCGUAUUGGGCCUUAAUGGGCCAUACGGGAAAGGAGAGAAAGGCCUCAAAAGGUGGCCGCACCCUUCCCCAUGGUCUGGUCCGAAUUGGACUAGGGAAGGGGGGCGCACCCUUCCUUCUUUCUCCUUCCCCCUUCCCUUCUCCUACUCCCACAAGGAAAGGAGGAGUCCUACUCCCGGUGGGAGUAGGACUCCUCCCUAUGGCGCGCCUCUCCCCUUGGCCGGCUGCCUCCCCCUUGCUCCUUUAUAUACGGGGGCAGGGGGCACCCCAGAGACACAACAAUUGAUCCUUGAGAUCUCUUAGCCGUGUGCGGUGCCCCCCUCCACCAUAUUACACCUCGAUAAUACCGUUGCGGAGCUUAGGCAAAGCCCUGCGUCGGUGGAACAUCAUCAUCGUCACCACGCCGUCGUGCUGACGAAACUCUCCCUCAACACUCGGCUGGAUCGGAGUUCGAGGGACGUCAUCGAGCUGAACGUGUGUAGAACUCGGAGGUGCCGUACGUUCGGUACUUGAUCGGUCGGAUCGUGAAGACGUACGACUACAUCAACCGCGUUGUGAUAACGCUUCCGCUGUCGGUCUACGAGGGUACGUGGACAACACUCUCCCCUCUCGUUGCUAUGCAUCACCAUGAUCUUGCGUGUGCAUAGGAAAAUUUUGAAAUUACUACGUUCCCCAACAGUGGCAUCCGAGCCAGGUUUUAUGCGUUGAUGCUAUGCACGAGUAGAAGACAAGUGAGUUGUGGGCGAUAUAAGUCAUACUGCUUACCAGCAUGUCAUAAUUUGGUUCAGCGGUAUUGUGAGAUGAAGCGGCCCGGACCGACAUUACGCGUACGCUUACGCGAGACUGGUUUCACCGUUGCGAGCACUCGUUGCUUAAAGGUGACCGGCGGGUGUCUGUCUCUCUCACUUUAGUUGAACCGAGUGUGGCUACGCCCGGUCCUUGCGAAGGUUAAAACAGCACCAACUUGACAAACUAUCGUUGUGGUUUUGAUGCGUAGGUAAGAACGGUUCUUGCUAAGCCCGUAGUAGCCACGUAAAACAUGCAACAACAAAGUAGAGGACGUCUAACUUGUUUUUGCAGGGCAUGUUGUGAUGUGAUAUGGUCAAGACAUGAUGUGAUAUAAUGUGUUGUAUGAGAUGAUCAUGUUUUGUAACCGAGUUAUCGGCAACUAGCAGGAGCCAUAUGGUUGUCGCUUUAUUGUAUGAGAUGCAAUCGCCAUGUAAUAGUUUUACUUUAUCACUAAGCGGUAGCGAUAGUCGUAAAAGCAAUAAGUUGGCGAGACGACAACGAUGCUACGAUGGAGAUCAAGGUGUCGCGCCGGUGACAAUGGUGAUCAUGACGGUGCUUCGGAGAUGGAGAUCACAAGCACGGUGCUUCGGAGAUGGAGAUCACAAGCACAAGAUGAUGAUGGCCAUAUCAUAUCACUUAUAUUGAUUGCAUGUGAUGUUAAUCCUUUAUGCAUCUUAUCUUGCUUUGUUUGACAGUAGCAUUAUAAGAUGAUCCUUUACUAAAUUAUCAAAGUAUAAGUGUUCUCCCUGAGUAUGCACCGUUGCGAAAGUUUUUCGUGCUGAGACACCACGUGAUGAUCGGGUGUGAUAGGCUCUACGUUCAAAUACAACGUGUGCAAAACAGUUGCACACACGGAAUACUCAGGUUAAACUUGACGAGCCUAGCAUAUAACAGAUAUGGACUCGGAACACAGAGACCGAAAGGUCGAGCGUGAAUCAUAUAGUAGAUAUGAUCAACAUAGUGAUGUUCACCAUUGAAACUACUCCAUCUCACGUGAUGAUCGGACAUGGUUUAGUUGAUAUGGAUCACGUGAUCACUUAGAGGAUUAGAGGGAUGUCUAUCUAAGUGGGAGUUCUUAAGUAAUAUGAUUAAUUGAACUUAAAUUUAUCAUGAACUUAGUCCUGAUAGUAUUUUGCAAAUUAUGUUGUAGAUCAAUAGCUCGCGUUGUUGCUUCCCUGUGUUUAUUUUUGAUGUGUUCCUAGAGAAAAAUUAUGUUAAAAGAUGUUAGUAGCAAAGAUGCGGAUUGGAUCCGUGAUCUCAGGAUUAUCCUCAUUGCUGCACAGAAGAAUUAUGUCCUUGAUGCACCGCUAGGUGACAGACCUAUUGCAGGAGCAGAUGCAGACGUUAUGAACAUUUGGCUAGCUCAAUAUGAUAACUACUUGAUAGUUUAGUGCACCAUGCUUAACGGCUUAGAAUCGGGACUUCAAAGACGUUUUGAACGUCAUGGACCAUAUGAGAUGUUCCAGGAGUUGAAGUUAAUAUUUCAAGCAAAUACCCGAGUUGAGAGAUAUGAAGUCUCCAACAAGUUCUAUAGCUAAAAGAUGGAGGAGAAUCGCUCAACUAGUGAGCAUGUGCUCAGAUUGUCUGGGUACUACAAUCGCUUGAAUCAAGUGGGAGUUAAUCUUCCAGAUAAAAUAGUGAUUGACAGAAUUCUCUAGUCACCAUCACCAAGUUAGUAGAACUUCGUGAUGAACUACAGUAUGCAAGGGAUGACGAAAGUAAUUCCCGAGCUCUUCGUGAUGCUGAAAUCGACGAAGGUAGAAAUCAAGAAAAACAUCAAGUGUUGAUGGUUGACGAGACCACUAGUUUCAAGAAAAGGGCAAAGGGAAGAAGGGGAACUUCAAGAAGAACGGCAAGCAAGUUGCUGCUCAAGUGAAGAAGCCUAAGUCUGGUCCUAAGCUUGAGACUAAGUGCUUCUACUGCAAAGGGACUGGUCACUGGAAUCGGAACUACCCCAAGUAUUUGGUGGAUAAGAAGGAUGGCAAAGUGAACAAAGGUAUAUUGGAUAUACAUGUUAUUGAUGUGUACUUUACUAGUGUUUAUAGCAACCCCUCGGUAUUUGAUACUGGUACAGUUGCUAAAGUAGUAACUCGAAACGGGAGUUGCAGAAUAAACAGAGACUAGUAAAAGGAGAGGUGACGAUGUGUGUUGGAAGUAGUUCCAAGAUUGAUAUGAUCAUCAUCGCACACUCCCUAUACUUUCGGGAUUAGUGUUGAAACUAAAUAAGUGUUAUUUGGUGUUUGCGUUGAGCAUGAAUAUGAUUUGAUCAUGUUUAUUGCAAUACGGUUAUUCAUUUAAGUUAGAGAACAAUUGUUGUUCUGUUUACAUGAAUAAAAACCUUCUAUGGUCAUACACACCAACGAAAAUGGUUUGUUGGAUCUCGAUCGUAGUGAUACACAUAAUCAUAAUAUUGAAGCCAAAAGAUGCAAAGUUAAUAAUGAUAGUGCAAAUUAUUUGUGGCACUGCCGUUUAGGUCAUAUUGGUGUAAAGCGCAUGAAGAAACUCCAUACUGAUGGGAUUUUGGAAUCACUUGAUACUUGCGAACCGUGCCUCAUGGGCAAGAUGACUAAAACGCCGUUCUCCGGAACUAUGGAGAGAGCAACAGAUUUGUUGGAAAUCAUACAUACAGAUGUGUGUGGUCCGAUGAAUAUUGAGGCUCGUGGCGGAUAUCGUUAUUUUCUCACCUUCACAGAUGAUUUGAGCAGAUAUGGGUAUAUCUACUUAAUGAAACAUAAGUCUGAAACAUUUGAAAAGUUCAUAUAAUUUCAGAGUGAAGUGGAAAAUCAUCGUAACAAGAAAAUAAAGUUUCUACGAUCUGAUCGUAGAGAAGAGUAUUUGAGUUACGAGUUUGUCCUUCAGUAAAAACAAUGUGAAAUAGUUUCACUACUCACGCCACCUGGAACACCACAGUGUAAUAGUGUGUCCGAACAUCGUAACCGUACUUUAUUAGAUAUGGUGCAAUAUAUGAUGUCUCUGACCGAUCUACCACUAUCGUUUUGGGGUUAUGCAUUAGAGACAGCUACAUUCACGUUAAAUAGGGCACCAUCAAAAUCCGUUGAGACGACGCCUUAUGAACUGUGGUUUGGCAAGAAACCAAAGUUGUCGUUUCUUAAAGUUUGGGGUUGCGAUGCUUAUGUGAAAAAGUUUCAUCCUGAUAAGCUCAAACCCAAAUCGGAGAAAUGUGUCUUCAUAGGAUACCCAAAGGAGACAGUUGGGUAUAGCUUCUAUCACAGAUCCGAAGGCAAGACAUUUGUUGCUUAGUAUGGAUCCUUUCUAGAGAAGGAGUUUCUCUUGAAAGAAGUGAGUGGGAGGAAAGUAGAACUUGAUGAGGUAACUGUACCUGCUCCCUUAUUGGAAAGUAGUUCAUCACAGAAAUCUGUUCCUGUGACUCCUACACCAAUUAGUGAGGAAGUUAAUGAUGAUGAUCAUGUAACUUCAGAUCAAGUUACUACCAAACCUCGUAGGUAAACCAGAGUAAGAUCCGCACCAGAGUGGUACGGUAAUCCUGUUCUGGAAGUUAUGUUACUAGACCAUGACGAACCUACGAACUAUGAAGAAGCGAUGGUGAGCCCAGAUUCCGCAAAAUGGCUUGAGGCCAUGAAAUCUGAGAUGAGAUCCAUGUAUGAGAACAAAGUGUGGACUUUGGUUGAUUUGCCCGAUGAUUGGCACGCAAUUGAGAAUAAAUGGAUCUUCAAGAGGAAGAGGGACGCUGAUAGUAGUGUCACUAUCUACAAAGCUAGAAUUGUCACAAAAAGGUUUUCGACAAGUUCAAGAUGUUAACUACGAUGAGAGUUUCUCACUCGUAUCUAUGCUUAAGUCUGUCCGAAUCAUGUUAGCAAUUGCCGCAUUUUAUGAAAUCUGGCAAAGGGAUAAACAAAACUGCAUUCCUUAAUGGAUUUAUUAAAGAAGAGUUGUAUAUGAUGCAACCAGAAGGUUUUGUCAAUCCUAAAGGUGCUAACAAAAUAUGCAAGCUCCAGCGAUCCAUCUAUGGACUGGUGCAAGCAUCUCGGAGUUGGAAUAUACACUUUGAUAAGUUGAUCAAAGGAUAUAGUGUUAUACAGACUUGCGGUGAAGCCUGUAUUUACAAGAAAGUGAGUGGGAGCACUACAGCAUUUCUGAUAAGUAUAUGUGAAUGACAUAUUGUUGAUCGGAAAUAAUGUAGAAUUAUUCUGCAAAGCAUAAAGGAGUGUUUGAAAGAAGUUUUCAAAGAAAGACCUCGGUGAAGCUGCUUACAUAUUGAGCAUCAAGAUCUAUAGAGAUAGAUGAAGACGCUUGAUAAGUUUUUCAAUGAGUACAUACCUUAACAAGAUUUUGAAGUAGUUCAAAAUAGAACAGUCAAAGAAAGAGUUCUUGCCUGUGUUACAAGGUGUGAAAUUGAGUAAAGACUCAAAGCCCGACCACGGCAAAAGAUAGAAAGAGAAUGAAAGUCAUUCCCUAUGCCUUGGCCAUAGGUUCUAUAAAGUAUGCCAUGCUGUGUACCAGAUCUAUUGUAUACCCUACACUGAUUUUGGCAAGGGAGUACAAUAGUGAUCUAGGAGUAGAUCACUGGACAGCGGUCAAAAUUAUCCUUAGUGGAAUAAGGAUAUGUUUCUCGAUUAUGGAAGUGACAAAAAGGUUCGUCGUAAAGAGUUACGUCGAUGCAAGUUUUGACACUAAAUCUAGAUGACUCUAAGUCUCGGUCUAGAUACAUAUUGAAAGUGGGAGCAAUUAGCUAGAGUAGCUCCGUGCAGAGCAUUGUAGACAUAGAAAUUUGCAAAAAUACUUACGGAUCUGAAUGUGACAGACCCAUUGACUAAAAUUAUCUCACAAUCAAAACAUGAUCACACCUUAGUACUCUUUGGGUGUUAAUCACAUAGCGAUGUGAACUAGAUUAUUGACUCUAGUAAACCCUUUGAGUGUUGGUCACAUAGAGAUGUGAACUAUGGGUGUUAAUCACAUGGUGAUGUGAAUUAUUGAUGUUAAAUCACAUGGCGAUGUGAACUAGAUUAUUGACUCUAGUGCAAGUGGGAGACUGAAGGAAAUAUGCCCUAGAGGCAAUAAUAAAAGUAUUAUAUAUUUCCUUAUAUCAUGAUAAAUGUUUAUUAUUCAUGCUAGAACUGUAUUAACCGGAAACAUAAUACAUGUGUGAAUACAUAGACAAACAGAGUAUCACUAGUAUGCCUCUACUUGACUAGCUCGUUAAUCAAAGAUGGUUAUGUUUCCUAGCCAUAGACAUAAGUUGUCAUUUGAUUAACGAGAUCACCUCAUUAGGAGAAUGACGUGAUUGACUUGACCCAUUCCGUUAGCUUAGCACUCGAUCGUUUAGUAUGUUGCUAUUGCUUUCUUCAUGACUUAUACAUGUUCCUAUGACUAUGAGAUUAUGCAACUCCCGUUUACCGGAGGAACACUUUGUGUGCUACCAAACGUCACAACGUAAAUGGGUGAUUAUAAAGGUGCUCUACAGGUGUCUCCAAAGGUACUUGUUGGGUUGGCGUAUUUCGAGAUUAGGAUUUGUCACUCCAAUUGUCGGAGAGGUAUCUCUGGGCCCACUCGGUAAUGCACAUCACUAUAAGCCUUGCAAGCAUUGUGACUAAUGAGUUAGUUGCGGGAUGAUGUGUUACGGAACGAGUAAAGAGACUUGUCGGUAACGAGAUUGAACUAGGUAUCAAGAUACCGACGAUCAAAUCUCGGGCAAGUAACAUACCGGUGACAAAGGGAACAACGUAUGUUGUUAUGCGGUCUGACCGAUAAAGAUCUUCGUAGAAUAUGUGGGAGCCAAUAAGGGCAUCCAGGUCCCGCUAUUGAUUAUUGACCGGAGACGUGUCUCGGUCAUGUCUACAUAGUUCUCGAACCCGUAGGGUCCGCACGCUUAACGUUACGAUGACAGUUUUAUUGAGUUUUGAUGUACCGAAGGAGUUCAGAGCCCUGGAUGAGAUCGGGGAUAUGACGAGGAGUCUCGAAAUGGUCGAGACGUAAAAAUCGAUAUAUUGGAUGACUAUAUUCGGACUUCGGAAAGGUUCCGAGUGAUUCGGGUAUUUUUCGGAGUACCGGAGAGUUACGGGAAUUCGUAUUGGGCCUUAAUGGGCCAUACGGGAAAGGAGAGAAAGGCCUCAAAAGGUGGCCGCACCCCUCCCCAUGGUCUGGUCCGAAUUGGACUAGGGAAGGGGGGCGCACCCUUCCUUCUUUCUCCUUCCCCCUUCCCUUCUCCUACUCCCACAAGGAAAGGAGGAGUCCUACUCCCGGUGGGAGUAGGACUCCUCCCUAUGGCGCGCCUCUCCCCUUGGCCGGCUGCCUCCCCCUUGCUCCUUUAUAUACGGGGGCAGGGGGCACCCCAGAGACACAACAAUUGAUCCUUGAGAUCUCUUAGCCGUGUGCGGUGCCCCCCUCCACCAUAUUACACCUCGAUAAUACCGUUGCGGAGUUUAGGCAAAGCCCUGCGUCGGUGGAACAUCAUCAUCGUCACCACGCCGUCGUGCUGACGAAACUCUCCCUCAACACUCGGCUGGAUCGGAGUUCGAGGGACGUCAUCGAGCUGAACGUGUGUAGAACUCGGAGGUGCCGUACGUUCGGUACUUGAUCGGUCGGAUCGUGAAGACGUACGACUACAUCAACCGCGUUGUGAUAACGCUUCCGUUGUCGGUCUACGAGGGUACGUGGACAACACUCUUCCCUCUCGUUGCUAUGCAUCACCAUGAUCUUGCAUGUGCGUAGGAAAUUUUUGAAAUUACUACGUUCCCCAACAUGAACCUCCAUCAGUCUACGCAUCAGAUGAAGCCAAGCUUCCCAUCUAUUACCAACAAGCACCCUCCUAAACUGAAUAUUAAGGGGGUGGCCUGCAUAAUCGUUGCCACAAGCGCAUCACGGCGAUGCACAAUCCGAUACAGAGUUGGGUACUGUAAUGCCAAAGGUGUCUCACCAAGCCAAGUGUCCUCCCAGAAGCGAGUAUCGUUAUCAUCUCCGACAAUAAACUUUGUUCUAUUAAAGAAGGCUGCCUUAACUCUCAUAAGCCCCUUCCAAAAUGGCGAGUCUAUACUUUCUCUUAAGAUCAUCACUCUGCCAAAAAAAUCUUGACCGAUAGAAGUCCAGCCUUUUCCUAACCCCAACUGGAACCUCAAAGAAAGAUAGGAGGAACAUCGGCAAACUUGUGAGCACCGAAUUAAUAAGAAUUAACCGGCCUCCAUAAGACAGAAGUUUUCCCUUCCAGCAACUAAGUUUCUUUUCGAUCCGAUCUUCGAUACAUUUCCACUCUCUGUUCGUGAGCUUACGAUGAUGAAUGGGUAUACCUAGGUAAGUAAAAGGUAAAGCCCCUAAUUCACAACCAAACAAUUUCCUAUAAGCCUCUUGUUCCUCCUUGGCUCUACCAAAGCAGAACAACUCGCUUUUAUGAAAGUUAAUCUUUAAACCGGACAAUUGUUCAAAUAAACACAACACCAGCUUCAUGUUUCUCGCUUUUGCCACGUCAUGCUCCAUGAAGAUGAUUGUAUCAUCAACGUACUGCAAAAUGGACACACCCCCAUCAACUAGGUUAGGCACCAAGCCACCUACCUGACCGGCGUUCUUUGCCCUGCCUAUGAGAAUGGCCAACAUAUCGACUACAAUGUUGAACAGUAUAGGGGACAUUGGAUCUCCUUGCCUCAGGCCUUUGUGUGUCUGGAAAUAAUGACCUAUAUCAUCAUUUACUUUAAUUCCAACACUACCUUUUUGCGUAAAGGAUUCUACCUGGCGUCGCCAGGCCUCAUCAAAACCCUUCAUGCGUAAAGCCUGUUGAAGGAAAGGCCAUUUGACUUUGUCAUACGCUUUUUCGAAAUCCACUUUGAAAACAACCCCAUCUAGCUUUUUCGUGUGGAUUUCAUGGAGCGUUUCAUGUAGGACCACAACACCCUCAAGGAUGUUCCUGUCCGGCAUGAAGGCAGUUUGGGUAGGUUGCACAACAGCAUGCGCGAUCUGUGAGAGCCUAUUGGUCCCGACCUUGGUGAAAAUUUUGAAACUAACAUUAAGAAGACAGAUUGGCCUGAAUUGCUCAAUUCUCACAGCCUCUGUUUUCUUAGGAAGAAGGGUGAUCGUUCCAAAAUUUAGCUGAAAAAGAUGAAGCUGCCCAGCAAACAGAUCAUUGAACAAAGGCAACAAAUCUCCUUUAAUGAUGAACCAGCAUUUCUUAUAAAACUCCGCUGGAAAUCCAUCCGGGCCCGGCGCUUUGUUAUUUUCCAUUUGCGAAACGGCGUCAAAUACCUCUUUCUCGGUAAAAGGAGCCGUCAGAACAUCAUUCUCCACAACUGUGAGCUGAGGAACAUCCUCAACCCUGGACUCAUCCAGAGACACACAGUUAUUUUCUGGAGGGCCAAACAACUGCUUAUAGAACUCAGUAAUGUACAAUUUUAGGUUCUCCUGUCCUACAAUUGUACCCUCAUCUUGCUCAAGCUGAAAGAUCCUCUUCUUUCGAUGCUUACCAUUAGCAAUCAUGUGAAAAAAUUCAGUGUUCGCGUCCCCCUGGACUACUCUCCGGACCUUGGCCCGCAAAGCCCACUUCAACUCUUCUUCCCUAAGAAGUUCUUACAGCCUCAAUUCCGCGUCCAGCUUGGCAUGAAGCUCCGCGACCGACAGAAGCGUGGUUUCUGCUUUUACAUCCAGGGACUGAAUAAGGGACAGAAGCCUUUCCUUUUCAACCUUAUAAAUCCCGCUAAGAUGCUUAGCCCAUCCACGCAGGAAACUCCUCAAGUGCUUGAUCUUAUUCUGCCAGCGCUGAAGCGCAGUCUUUCCUCCUGAAUCCUUAGCCCACUCUCUAGCCACGAGAUCAAGGAAGCCUUCACGUUCAGACCAAGCCAUCUCAAAGGAGAACACAUUCUUGUUCCCCAAGUGGGAGGGCUGACCAGAGUCCACAAAAAGCGGCGUGUGGUCAGAAAUACCACGGGACAAGGCCUGGACUGUUACUAGAGGAAACUUCUGUUCCCAAUCGACACUAGCCAACACACGGUCCAACUUCUCAUACGUCGGAUUUGGCAGCGCAUUAGCCCAGGUGAAUUUUCUGCCCGAGAGCUCAAUUUCUCUCAGGUUCAAACUUUCAAUGAUAGUAUUGAACAUGAACGACCAUCUGCCGUCAAAGUUAUCAUUGUUCUUAUCCUCACGCCUUCUAAUAAUAUUGAAAUCACCCCCCACCAGGUACGACAACUGCUCGGAACCACACAUCCGAACGAGAUCAGCCAUGAAAUCGGGCUUGAGCUCGGGCUGCGCAGCCCCAUAAACCGCAACCAGAGCCCAGUUAAACCCAUCUUCCUUCGACCGCACCCGGAACUUGACUGCAAAGUCACCCAUAACCACACUACGAACCUCAAGCGUCUCGCACCUAACGCCGAGUAAGAUUCCACCCGAUCUCCCUCUCGGCGGCAAGCAAUGCCAAUCAAAUUCAAUACCCCCUGACAAAGAAUUUAGAAAUUGAGGCGCAAAAUUAUCUCUCCCCGUCUCCAAAAGAGCGAUAAAAUCUAAGUGAUGCUCUGUUGGAAAUAUGCCCUAGAGGCAAUAAUAAAUGGUUAUUAUUAUAUUUCUUUGUUCAUGGUAAUUGUCUAUUGUUCAUGCUAUAAUUGUAUUGUCCGGAAAUCGUAAUACAUGUGUGAAUACAUAGACCACAACGUGUCCCUAGUAAGCCUCUAGUUGACUAGCUCGUUGAUCAACAGAUAGUCAUGGUUUCCUGACUAUGGACAUUGGAUGUCGUUGAUAACGGGAUCACAUCAUUAGGAGAAUGAUGUGAUGGACAAGACCCAAUCCUAAGCAUAGCAUAAAAGAUCGUGUAGCUUCGUUUGCUAGAGCUUUUCCAAUGUCAAGUAUCUUUUCCUUAGACCAUGAGAUCGUGCAACUCCCGGAUACCGUAGGAGUGCUUUGGGUGUGCCAAACGUCACAACGUAACUAGGUGACUAUAAAGGUGCACUACGGGUAUCUCCGAAAGUGUCUGUUGGGUUAGCACGGAUCGAGACUGGGAUUUGUCACUCCGUGUGACGGAGAGGUAUCUCUGGGCCCACUCGGUAAUGCAUCAUCAUAAUGAGCUCUAUGUGACUAAGGCGUUAGUCACGGGAUCAUGCAUUGUGGUAUGAGUAAAGAGACUUGCCGGUAACGAGAUUGAACAAGGUAUUGGGAUACCGACGAUCGAAUCUCGGGCAAGUAACAUACCGAUUGACAAAGGGAAUUGCAUACGGGAUUGAUUGAAUCCUCGACACCGUGGUUCAUCCGAUGAGAUCAUCGUGGAACAUGUGGGAGCCAACAUGGGUAUCCAGAUCCCGCUGUUGGUUAUUGACCGGAGAGGCGUCUCGGUCAUGUCUGCAUGUCUCCCGAACCCGUAGGGUCUACACACUUAAGGUUCGGUGACGCUAGGGUUGUAGAGAUAUGUGUAUGCGGAAACCCGAAAGUUGUUCGGAGUCCCGGAUGAGAUCCCGGACGUCACGAGGAGUUCCGGAAUGGUCCGGAGGUGAAGAAUUAUAUAUAGGAAGUCAAGUUUCGGCCACCGGGAAAGUUUCGGGGGUUACCGGUAUUGUACCGGGACCACUAGAAGGGUCCCGGGGGUCCACCGGGUGGGGCCACCUAUCCCGGAGGGCCCCUUGGGCUGAAGUGGGAAGGGAACCAGCCCCUAGUGGGCUGGGCGCCCCCCCAUGGGCCUCCCCCCAUGCGCCUAUGGUUGCAAACCCUAGGGUGGGGGGGGGGGGCUUCCCACUUGCCUNNNNNNNNNNNNNNNNNNNNNNNNNNNNNNNNNNNNNNNNNNNNNNNNNNNNACCCUAGAUGGGUUUUAGCCGGCGCCCCCCCCCCUCCCAGGGGGCCUAUAUAAAGGGGGGGAGGGAGGGCAGCAACAUCUUAGCCAUGGGCGCCUCCCUCCUCCCCUGCUACACCUCUCUCUCUCGUAGAAGCUCGGCGAAGCCCUGCCGGCAUCCCGCUACAUCCACCACCACGCCGUCGUGCUGCUGGAUCUCCAUCAACCUCUCCUUCCCCCUUGCUGGAUCAAGAAGGAGGAGACGUCGCUGCACCGUACGUGUGUUGAACGCGGAGGUGCCGUCCGUUCGGCACUCGGUCAUCGGUGAUUUGGAUCACGGCGAGUACGACUCUGUCAUCCACGUUCAUUGGAACGCUUCCGCUCGCGAUCUACAAGGGUAUGUAGAUGCACUCCUUUCCCCUCGUUGCUAGUAUGCUCCAUAGAUGCAUCUUGGUGAGCGUAGGAAAAUUUUAAAAUUAUGCUACGAUUACCAACAGUGGCAUCAUGAGCCAGGCCUAUGCGUAGUUACUAUGCACGAGUAGAACACAAAGAAGUUGUGGGCGUUGAUGUUGCCAAUUCUUCUUGCCGCUACUAGUCGUAUCUUGUUUCGGCGGCAUUGUAGGAUGAAGCAGCCCGGACCGACCUUACACGUACGCUUACGUGAGACAGGUUCCACCGACUGACAUGCACUAGUUGCAUAAGGUGCCUAGCGGGUGUCUGUCUCUCCUACUUUAGUCGGAACGGAUUCGAUGAAAAGGGUCCUUAUGAAGGGUAAAUAGAAAUUGGCAAAUCACGUUGUGGUCAUACGUAGGUAAGAAACGUUCUUGCUAGAAACCUACAAACCACGUAAAAACUUGCAACAACAAUUAGAGGACGUCUAACUUGUUUUUGCAGCAUGUGUGAUGUGAUGUGAUAUGGCCAGAAGAUGUGAUGAAUGAUAUAUGUGAUGUAUGAGAUUGAUCAUAUUCUUGUAAUAGGAAUCACGACUUGCAUGUCGAUGAGUAUGACAACCGGCAGGAGCCAUAGGAGUUGUCUUUAUUAUUUUGUAUGACCUGCGUGUCAUUAAAUAACGCCAUGUAAAUUACUUUACUUUGUUGCUAAACGCGUUAGCCAUAGAAGUAGAAGUAAUCGUUGGCGUGAUGACUUCAUGAAGACACAAUGAUGGAGAUCAUGGUGUCAUGCCGGUGACGAAGAUGAUCAUGGUGCCCCGAAGAUGGAGAUCAAAGGAGCAUAAUGAUAUUGGCCAUAUCAUGUCACUAUUUGAUAGCAUGUGAUGUUUAUCAUGUUUUGCAUCUUAUUUGCUUAGAACGAUGGUAGUAAGUAAGAUGAUCCCUUAUGAUAAUUUCAAGAAAAGUGUUCCCCCUAACUGUGCACCGUUGCGAAGGUUCGUUGUUUCGAAGCACCACGUGAUGAUCGGGUGUGAUAGAUUCUAACGUUCGAAUACAACGGGUGUUGACGAGCCUAGCAUGUACAGACAUGGCCUCGGAACACACGCAAUACACUUAGGUUGACUUGACGAGCCUAGCAUGUACAGACAUGGCCUCGGAACACGGAGGACCGAAAGGUCGAGCAUGAGUCGUAUAGAAGAUACGAUCAACAUGGAGAUGUUCACCGAUCUUGACUAGUCCGUCUCACGUGAUGAUCGGACACGGCCUAGUUAACUCGGAUCAUGUUUCACUUAGAUGACUAGAGGGAUGUCUAUCUGAGUGGGAGUUCAUUGAAUAAUUUGAUUAGAUGAACUUAAUUAUCAUGAACUUAGUCUAAAAUCUUUACACUAUGUCUUGUAGAUCAAAUGGCCAACGUUGUCCUCAAUUUCAACGCGUUCCUAGAGAAACCAAGCUGAAAGAUGAUGGCAGCAACUAUACGGACUGGGUCCGGAACCUGAGGAUCAUCCUCAUAGUAGCCAAGAAAGAUUAUGUCUUAGAAGCACCGCUAGGUGAUGCACCAAUCCCACAGAACCAAGACGUUAUGAACGCUUGGCAGCAGCGUGCUGAUGAUUACUCCCUCGUUCAGUGCGGCAUGCUUUACAGCCUAGAACCGGGUCUCCAAAAGCGUUUUGAGAAACAUGGAGCAUAUGAGAUGUUCGAGGAGCUGAAAUUAGUUUUCCAAGCUCAUGCCCGGGUCGAGAGAUAUGAAGUCUACGACAAGUUCUUCAGCUGUAAAAUGGAGGGAAAUAGUUCUGUAAGUGAGCACAUACUCAGAAUGUCUGGGUUGCACAACCGCUUGACUCGGCUGGGAGUUAAUCUCCCAGAUGACGCGGUCAUUGACAGAAUCCUUCAGUCGCUUCCUACAAGCUUCAAGAGCUUUGUGAUGAACUACAAUAUGCAGGGGAUGGAAAAGACCAUUCCUGAGGUAUAUUCGAUGCUGAAAUCAGCGGAGGUGGAAAUCAGAAAAGAACAUCAAGUGUUGAUGGUGAAUAAAACCACUAAGUUCAAGAAGGGCAAGGGUAAGAAGAACUUCAAGAAGGACGGCAAGGGAGUUGCCGCGCCCGGUAAACCAGUUACUGGGAAGAAGUCAAAGAAUGGACCCAAGCCUGAAACUGAGUGCUUUUAUUGCAAGGGAAGUGGUCACUGGAAGCGGAACUGCCCCAAAUACUUAGCGGAAAAGAAGGCCGGCAACACCAAAGGUAUAUGUGAUAUACAUGUAAUUGAUGUGUACCUUACCAGUACUCGUAGUAGCUCCUGGGUAUUUGAUACCGGUGCGGUUGCUCAUAUUUGUAACUCAAAACCGGAACUACGGAAUAAACGGAGACUGGCGAAGGACGAGGUGACGAUGCGCGUCGGGAAUGGUUCCAAGGUCGAUGUGAUCGCCGUCGGCACGCUACCUCUGCAUCUACCUACGGGAUUAGUUUUAAACCUUAAUAAUUGUUAUUUAGUGCCAGCUUUGAGCAUGAACAUUGUAUCUGGAUCUCGUUUAAUUCGAGAUGGCUACUCAUUUAAAUCCGAGAAUAAUGGUUGUUCUAUUUAUUUGAGAGAUAUAUUUUAUGGUCAUGCCCCGCUGGUCAAUGGUUUAUUCUUGAUGAAUCUCGAACGUGAUGUUACACAUAUUCAUAAUGUGAAUACCAAAAGAUGUAAAGUUGAUAACGAUAGUCCCACAUAUCUGUGGCACUGCCGCCUUGGUCACAUUGGUGUCAAGCGCAUGAAGAAGCUCCAUGCAGAUGGACUUUUGGAGUCUCUUGAUUACGAAUCAUUUGACACGUGCGAACCAUGCCUCAUGGGUAAGAUGACCAAGACUCCGUUCUCCGGAACAAUGGAGCGAGCAACCAACUUAUUGGAAAUCAUACAUACCGAUGUGUGCGGUCCAAUGAGUGUUGAGGCUCGCGGAGGAUAUCGUUUCUCACUCUCACUGAUGAUUUAAGUAGAUAUGGGUAUGUCUACCUAAUGAAGCACAAGUCUGAAACCUUUGAAAAGUUCAAGGAAUUUCAGAGUGAGGUUGAGAAUCAACGUGACAGGAGAAUAAAAUUCUUACGAUCAGAUCGUGGUGGAGAAUAUUUAAGUCAUGAAUUUGGUGCACAUUUAAGGAAAUGUGGAAUAGUUUCACAACUCACGCCGCCUGGAACACCUCAGCGAAAUGGUGUGUCCGAACGUCGUAAUCGCACUCUAUUGGAUAUGGUGCGAUCUAUGAUGUCUCUUACCGAUUUACCGCUCUCAUUUUGGGGCUAUGCUUUAGAGACUGCCGCAUUCACUUUAAAUAGGGCUCCGUCGAAAUCCGUUGAGACGACACCGUAUGAAUUAUGGUUUGGGAAGAAACCUAAGCUGUCGUUUCUAAAAGUUUGGGGAUGCGAUGCUUAUGUCAAGAAACUUCAACCUGAAAAGCUCGAACCCAAGUCGGAGAAAUGCGUCUUCAUAGGAUACCCUAAGGAAACGAUUGGGUAUACCUUCUACCUCAGAUCCGAAGGCAAGAUCUUCGUUGCCAAGAACGGGUCCUUUCUGGAGAAGGAGUUUCUCUCGAAAGAAUUGAGUGGGAGGAAAGUGGAACUUGAUGAGUUGAUAGUCACCCCUUCCGAACCGGAAAGUAGCGCAGCGCGGGAAAAUGUUCCUGUGGUGCCUACACCGACUGGGGAGGAAGUUAAUGAUUAUGAUCAUGAAGCUUCGGAUCAAGUUACUGAACUUCGUAGGUCCACAAGGACACGUUCCGCACCAGAGUGGUACGGCAACCCUGUCCUGGAAAUCAUGUUGUUAGACAACGGUGAACCUUCGAACUAUGAAGAAGCGAUGGCGGGCCCGGAUUCCGACAAAUGGCUAGAAGCCAUGAAAUCCGAGAUAGGAUCCAUGUAUGAAAACGUAGUAUGGACUUUGACUGACUUGCCCGAUGAUCGGCGAGCCGUAGAAAAUAAAUGGAUCUUUAAGAAGAAGACGGACGCGGAUGGUAAUGUGACCAUCUACAAAGCUCGACUUGUCGCUAAGGGUUAUCGACAAGUUCAAGGGGUUGACUACGAUGAGACUUUCUCACCCGUAGCGAAGCUGAAGUCCGUCCGAAUCAUGUUAGCAAUUGCCGCAUACUAUGAUUAUGAGAUAUGGCAGAUGGAUGUCAAAACGACAUUCCUUAACGGCUUCCUUAAGGAAGAGUUGUAUAUGAUGCAGCCGGAAGGUUUUGUCGAUCCUAAGAAUGCUAACAAAGUAUGCAAGCUCCAGCGCUCAAUCUAUGGGCUGAUGCAAGCAUCUCGGAGUUGGAACAUUCGCUUUGAUGAGAUGAUCAAAGCGUUUGGGUUUACACAGACUUAUGGAGAAGCCUGUGUUUACAAGAAAGUGAGUGGGAGCUCUGUAGCAUUUCUCAUAUUAUAUGUGGAUGACAUAUUAUUGAUGGGAAAUGAUAUAGAAUUCUUGGAAAGUAUAAAGGCCUAUUUGAAUAAGUGUUUUUCAAUGAAGGACCUUGGAGAAGCUGCUUAUAUAUUAGGCAUCAAGAUCUAUAGAGAUAGAUCAAGACGCCUCAUUGGUCUUUCACAAAGUACAUACCUUGACAAGAUAUUGAAGAAGUUCAAUAUGGAUCAGUCCAAGAAGGGGUUCUUGCCUGUAUUGCAAGGUGUGCAGUUGAGCACGACUCAAUGCCCGACCACGGCAGAAGAUAGAGAAAAGAUGAGUGUCAUCCCCUAUGCCUCGGCCAUAGGGUCUAUUAUGUAUGCCAUGCUGUGUACCAGACCUGAUGUAAACCUUGCCGUAAGUUUGGUAGGAAGGUACCAAAGUAAUCCCGGCAUGGAACACUGGACAGCGGUCAAGAAUAUCCUGAAGUACCUGAAGAGGACUAAGGAUAUGUUUCUCGUUUAUGGAGGUAACGAAGAGCUCGUCGUAAAGGGUUACGUCGACGCUAGCUUCGACACAGAUCUGGAUGACUCGAAGUCACAAACCGGAUACGUGUAUAUUUUGAAUGGAGGAGCAGUAAGCUGGUGCAGUUGCAAGCAAAGCGUCGUGGCGGGAUCUACAUGUGAAGCGGAGUAUAUGGCGGCCUCGGAGGCAUCGCAGGAAGCAGUCUGGAUGAAGGAGUUCAUUACCGACCUAGGGGUGAUUCCCAAUGCGUCGGGCCCGAUGACUCUCUUCUGUGACAACACUGGAGCUAUUGCCCUUGCGAAGGAGCCCAGGUUUCACAGGAAGACCAGUCAUAUCAAGCGUCGCUUCAACUCCAUUCGUGAAAGUGUUCAAAAUGGAGACAUAGAUAUUUGUAAAGUACAUACGGACCUGAAUGUAGCAGAUUCGUUGACUAAACCUCUCCCUAGAGCAAAACAUGAUCAACACCAGGACGCAAUGGGUGUUCGAUUCAUCACAAUGUAACUAGAUUAUUGACUCUAGUGCAAGUGGGAGACUAUUGGAAACAUGCCCUAGAGGCAAUAAUAAAUGGUUAUUAUUAUAUUUCUUUGUUCAUGGUAAUUGUCUAUUGUUCAUGCUAUAAUUGUAUUGUCCGGAAAUCGUAAUACAUGUGUGAAUACAUAGACCACAACGUGUCCCUAGUAAGCCUCUAGUUGACUAGCUCGUUGAUCAACUGAUAGUCAUGGUUUCCUGACUAUGGACAUUGGAUGUCGUUGAUAACGGGAUCACAUCACUAGGAGAAUGAUGUGAUGGACAAGACCCAAUCCUAAGCAUAGCAUAAAAGAUCGUGCAGCUUCGCUUGCUAGAGCUUUUCCAAUGUCAAGUAUCUUUUCCUUAGACCAUGAGAUCGUGCAACUCCCGGAUACCGUAGGAGUGCUUUGGGUGUGCCAAACGUCACAACGUAACUGGGUGACUAUAAAGGUGCACUACGGGUAUCUCCGAAAGUGUCUGUUGGGUUAGCACGGAUCGAGACUGGGAUUUGUCACUCCGUGUGACGGAGAGGUAUCUCUGGGCCCACUCGGUAAUGCAUCAUCAUAAUGAGCUCUAUGUGACUAAGGCGUUAGUCACGGGAUCAUGCAUUGCGGUACGAGUAAAGAGACUUGCCGGUAACGAGAUUGAACAAGGUAUUGGGAUACCGACGAUCGAAUCUCGGGCAAGUAACACACCGAUUGACAAAGGGAAUUGCAUACGGGAUUGAUUGAAUCCUCGACACCGUGGUUCAUCCGAUGAGAUCAUCGUGGAACAUGUGGGAGCCAACAUGGGUAUCCAGAUCCCGCUGUUGGUUAUUGACCGGAGAGGCGUCUCGGUCAUGUUUGCAUGUCUCCCGAACCUGUAGGGUCUACACACUUAAGGUUCAGUGACGCUAGGGUUGUAGAGAUAUUUGUAUGCGGAAACCCGAAAGUUGUUCGGAGUCCCGGAUGAGAUCCCGGACGUCACGAGGAGUUCCGGAAUGGUCCGGAGGUGAAGAAUUAUAUAUAGGAAGUCAAGUUUCGGCCACCGGGAAAGUUUCGGGGGUUACCGGUAUUGUACCGGGACCACCGGAAGGGUCCCGGGGGUCCACCGGGUGGGGCCACCUAUCCCGGAGGGCCCCGUGGGCUGAAGUGGGAAGGGAACCAGCCCCUAGUGGGCUGGGCGCCCCCCAUGGGCCUCCCCCCAUGCGCUUAGGGUUGCAAACCCUAGGGUGGGGGGCUUCCCACUUGCCUUGGGGGGCAAGGCACCCCCUUGGCCGCCGCCCCCCACCCUAGAUGGGUUUUGGCCGGCGCCCCCCUCCCAGGGGGCCUAUAUAAAGGGGGGGGAGGGCAGCAACAUCUUAGCCUUGGGCGCCUCCCUCCUCCCCUGCUACACCUCUCUCUCUCGUAGAAGCUCGGCGAAGCCCUGCCGGCAUCCCGCUACAUCCACCACCAUGCCGUCGUGCUGCUGGAUCUCCAUCAACCUCUCCUUCCCCCUUGCUGGAUCAAGAAGGAGGAGACGUCGCUGCACCGUACGUGUGUUGAACGCGGAGGUGCCGUCCGUUCGGCACUCGGUCAUCGGUGAUUUGGAUCACGGCGAGUACGACUCCGUCAUCCACGUUCAUUGGAACGCUUCCGCUCGCGAUCUACAAGGGUAUGUAGAUGCACUCCUUUCCCCUCGUUGCUAGUAUGCUCCAUAGAUGCAUCUUGGUGAGCGUAGGAAAAUUUUAAAAUUAUGCUACGAUUACCAACAUGCUCGACAGACGCCUCAGCAAGAAACCUUCUUUUAGCCAAGUCCCUUAGACCUCUGCUAUUCCAAAAGAUUCCUUUCAUAGUUCAUCGUAGAAUUUUUUUGCCGAACGCAUCCUAGCACUCCUACGCACUGCGGACAACGGGUAAACCUUUCGUUUCCACUUGCACUUUGGGAUAGCUUGACUCUGCAACUGGUCCUCAUACCCAGUGUCAGAGGGGCAUGCCAAAACUAUGUCAGUAGAAACAUCCUCUACCUCCGCCUCAGAACUAGGAGGCAAAAGAUCCGCACAAAAAUUGUCAAGCACCCUGACCCCGAGCGCAUCAACCUCCGAAUCACACAUGGGUUCAACAGCCGCAAUAUUGCGAAUCAUCUCUAAGGCCCACUCAGCCUCUAGGUCAAGUAGAUCAUUAAUAGAAUUAGUAAUUUCAGUUUCAUUACUACCUAGAGAAACUCCUAAUUGAUUUGCAUUAUCAAGAAUCUCAUCAUUUGAAAAAUGCAAAAUGGAAUUAGAAGUAUUGACCGACAUACCAGUAGUGACCUCGACAUCACGAAGCUUGGCCGCCCUCAUGGCGCACCGUUGCUGAAUGUCGUCCACAUCCGGAUGUGCCUGGAGACGGUCACUCACCCAGCGCCCCUCAGACAUGGGAUCCUGGAUCCCACCAAACGCAAUGACCUCCUCCCGAGAGAUCGCGGAUGGGGUACGGCCUCCUGCCUCACCCCAACCCGCAGUCCGAGCGACCUGCAUGGGCUUCCCCACAGCCGCGCCAGUAGGAGGACGGGACGCCUGGCGCGCCCCACCAGACGGGGCCGUCACCGAGGGUGGUGGAGACAUAGCCAGCACCGCCCGUCCUAGCUCCCCAACCUGCACCGGAGAGGCUACCACCAUAGGAGAAAGCUCCGAAGCCACCUGCCCCAAGCCCACUCCCGAAGGCGAAGCCGGCACCAACCGAGAGGAAGAUGCAACGGGAGAAGAAGUAUCCGAGUCCUCCUGACCCGGACCUCCUCCCAACGAAGAAGAGGAUACGGGAGCCACCUUCCCCGCAUCCCCUUCCUCAGCACAAAAAGAGCAACCCGAAACCGCCUGGCCUAUGGCUCCUCCCGGCACACCAGGCCCGGUAAGCUGCGGCAUCUCCUGAGGGGGAACCGCGCGCUGACCAGAAGAGGGAGUGGCCACCUACCGACUCACCUCCUCCGCCCCCCUGACCGAAAGUGAUGAAACCCCGAAAUCCCCAGAACCCGAGUCCACAGCAUCCAGAAAAUCAAAAGCAGGCAAAGCGAGCUCAAAGGCCUCCUUGGACUCAACCCGAUCGCUCCACAACCUCGGCAGUGCAGAAAAAGGUUCGAAGGAUCCAAAUCUCAACGACGUCGAAGGCACCGAGGAGGGUUGGGCAGCUCCAUCCCCGGUCGUCGCGGUCUCGGACCCCGUCCCCAUGGACAGCUGUCGUCCAGAGUCCUCGACCGGCGGUUCCUGAACUCCCGCGCCACCGUCACCCUCAUUCAUAUCAACGUCAGACACGUGAGCCGGCGCAGACAGAAGGCUCUCGUCCUCAAACUCAAUAACCAGAUUAUAAAUCCUGCCUCGAUAAGCCCACUUAACCACUUCCGGCACAUACUCAACGUUCAGAAUACUGACCAGAACCCGAGCAAUCCCUUGAGCUCUGGUGAAAGCCAUGUCCACACGCUCAGGCUUCCCCACAAGAAUGCCCAAACUGGCCACAACCCGAGCAUCCUGCAGUGGAGAGGAAGGUGCCCCGGAAAAGCGUAGCCACGCUUGCGUAAGCGGUACGCCCUGAGGCUCAACAAGCUUCCAUUCCUGAAACUCAAGGAUACCAUCAGUACCCGGCACCUUACACAUCCCAAAACUCAGCAACCUCUGCAGAUCCUCCACAGACGGGCACUCGACCCUGAACAUCUUAUCAGCAAGACCGACAAGGUCCCACUGGAAAUCCCCAGGAGCCAGCUCUCGAAGCCUCUGCACGAUCUGUGCCUCAGACACCUCCCCUCUGGUGACAUUGACAAUCCCCGUGGUCUUACUCGGAGACUCGUCAGGCACCUCGUGCUCAGUCGGAGACUCGAAAAAAGUUAGCUCAGCACAGUAUACUCCAUACAUCAUGAGUGAAGGUGUCUGAUCGCGCAGUAACGGACAAUCCCCAGAUUCAUGUGCCAGUUUACCACACAUAUCACAUAAACGUGCCACACACUCCGCAAUGAAGUGACCCUUGUCUCUGCAACGAUAACAAAGCAUCUUUUCUUUCCUGCGCGCCCACUUGGACGCUCUAUCAGACUCAGCCCUGUCCAUCAUCUCCGCGGACACAUCAGGCAUAACCUCAUUCUCAGGAACCGGAGCAGAAGCAAGAGCCGUCACUACCUCCAUAGCGUGAUCGGACAACACAGGCUCCUCUGCAGCCCCGCUAUCAGUCAUAUGCUCGACAACGACCGGUGGUGGCGGCGGUCGUGGACGGUACCGGCCCCCUCGCCCGCCCCGACCACCACGAUGCCCACGGAAGCCACCACGCUGUCUAGAAUCGGGACCAGAAGCACCCUCAACAAAACCACCCUGGGGUCCCAGGAACGGUCGCUCGGCCGAACCGUCGCUCUGCCAAGCGUAACCUCGGCCGCCACCCGUCGACGACGAUCCACGGUGCACACCUGCCCCAUAUGCGUCAAAACCAUCGUCUCCCCAUUGUGCCCGAGGCGCGGCAUUAGCACCAGCCACAGGUUUGGUGACGAAGUGGGGUGGCGGUGCUUGCCUAGGCAGAUGUCCCACAGCCCCCGUCGCCCCCGUCGUUGGCGGCUUAGUCGCCGUGCCGCCCCGACCCACAGCACCACCAGUCUGCCCACCACGACUAGGCGCCAAACCCGAGGCCGCAAUCACCGGUACGCGAGCUCCGGCAGACGCCGUGGCACCACGCCCCACGGCCGCACCCGGCAACGUUCCGCCGCGCCCUCCCACGAGCGGCACGGGGGGCACCGCGCCCCGGCCAGCUCCACGACCGGAGGCAGUAGAUGGCGGCGGCACAGCAGUCACCGCAGCGCGGCCACCGCCCGGCGCAGUCCCAGCGCGACCCGUCCCAGGGAGCUCGGCCGGUCUCUUCCCCGCCACACCACGUCCCGCCACACCACUAGCCAUCCCCUAUAUAUAAUGGAGUAAACUUAAAUUUGGCUCAUACAUUUCGUUGAACACUUACUAUGUGCCUCAGCGGUGAGUGACAACCAUGGUGACUACACCGGUGGCGAGCAGCAGCAGCAGAAGAACGCAGCUGGGUCGUGAUAUUUUAAUUCGAAGAAAAGAAGAAGAAGAAGAUCGAUCGAUGGAUGGUGCAGUUGACUUGUACAAAACUUUUAUAGUACACGCGCCUUGGCGUACACACCUAUAGGGUGAACAGUGGUCGCAUGAUAACAUUAAAAAAGUACUAACCUAUCCUAUAUCAGUAUCCACGUCGCUUCGCCUUCUUCUUGUAACGGAGGCAAAAGACCUGUCUCAUCUCACUAAUAAUGGAGAAGGGGUAAACGAAUCUCAAGGUUCAGAGAGGUCCAAAACACCUCUCACAAAAAGAUAAACAAAAGACUACUAUCACGACAUCAAAGAGCUCAAAUUUUUUGCCCUUAUGAGGACCCAAUUAUUCCGCGCCUCUGUCCUGAUAUUAGCAAUGAUGGUUGUGAGCAAAAUCGAUUUAUUUCAGAAGACGCGUGCAUUUCUUUCGUUCCAUAGCUUCCAGGUGACAAGCAUAACGAGCAAGGCGAUGGCCUUCCUCCUGUGACCGGGCGAGAGGGUCGUCAAACUCCACCACGCAUGGACCGAAGCCAAGUCUCCCAAUCCGCAAUAACCAGCUCGGGCACAUCGAACAAGCCAUUGACACCCACAAAAAAUAGGAACAAGCAAUUUACAGCCGCCCAAACUUUGAAGGAGCAUCAACACUUGAAGAAAAUGUGCACAGCUGUUCCCUCCUACAAAGUUGGCAUAGAGCACAAUUUGGCCAUCCCUGCCUUGCCGGCGACCAAUAGUCCAGACCCUAUUCUUGAUGAGAAGCCAGACAAAGAACUUACACUUGGGCGACGCCCAAUUUCUCCAAACAGCCACGACCAUGGUGGUCAAGACUACUCCCUCGUACUGUGCCUUGUACGCGGAUGCGGUCGAGUAGACACCGCUAGUAGAAAGGUUCUAGGGUGCACAGUAUGAAGCUGGGCCCAGAGAGUGGAGUUCUUCGAUAUAUGUGACACUGAGACCAUCACACAUGUCAAUCCAGAAGGUCCAAACAAGGUCAUGCAAUGCGCCGUGAGCAAGAGACGUUUUUCUUCUUUGAGAUGCGGAAGAUCGCAGGGGCAAUGUCUCUGGGCUUUGCACUGUUGUGUCAUGGGCAGUGCCAAAAUUUUAUUAUGCGGCCGUCACUAGAUGUGAUGGUGGUUACUCCUAGAAAAGAUUCACGCAUACCGGUGCUAUCACAGGCAUACCCAAGCCAGCCCACACUAUGUCAGGGUCCUUCCAUUCGUAUAUAUCAAGGCUUCCACAGCGCAUAGCAGCAUCCAAAUCGUAAUUACGUUUUAGUGUACCCUUUCUAAAUCUGCUCAAAAUGUUGACAUCUUGUUCCACUAAAGAUAAAUACAGUCAUCAUCGCACCUUUGGAUGUCGACACAUGUUCAAAGCUUAAUCACAAAGCUAUCUUCUUUUUUGUUUCCAAUAUUAAUUGUACCUUGUACUUCCAUUUUUACACCUUAUUAUUGUUUUGAAAGGAAACUAUUCUAAUCACGGAGUGGCAUGACAAGUGUUCCCCACAUCACUAAUUAAUUUCGUCCCUUGUGCUCAUAAGUCCAUCAUCGUCAUCACAUACUAGAAAGAGAAAUAUGAGAAGCACUAGGCCGAUCCAUAAACUUUGUCCUAUUUGAAAACUACGAGAAAAUCUGUACUACAUUGCAUAAGCAAGAACAAAAUCUAUAUACUAUGUUGCUACCACACACUUUGCCCCGUUGAUUUGAAAUAUGAGAAAUAAUUAGAUUCUGAUGGUGGAUAGGAUUGAUUUUGAAGACUCGCAAAGUACUGACUCGAACAAUUCGAUUUUUGGAAGAGUUGGAAGAAACUGUGAAACAUUACUGGAUUCCUGCAAUGAACAUUUCUUUCCUUGCUUAUUCUCAGUGGCCACCCUUUUACUACUCUGUUUUUCUUAUUGUUGUAUUCUACCAUACCGUUGCAGAAUAACUAGAACCUUACCAAAGUCUCGACUAGGGGUUUAUCCUGAAAUGGCCCAAACAAGAGAUUAGACAAUGACACAUUUUUUUUCUUUUUCAAACAACCACCUGUAGGCUAUAGCACCGACUUAUUUGUCCAACAUCGCGUCAACAAAAUCUAAAGCUACUUUUCACAAAAAGGAAAGCUGAUGUUGGUUUAAUUCCACACACGUGGACUACCAGCCAUUUUAAAAAUCAUGAGAAAAUUGUUACAUUCGUACAUAUGUAUGCUUAGUCACUGUAAAAUGGAUGACGUAUAAAAUAGUUGGUAUUCUUAAUUAGAAGAAUCAUGACAAAUUCCUGCUUUAAAUCUUUGAUUGCAUGCAACAACUGACCGACACUCGCAUGUACGUUUGCCACAGCUUGGAGGUCACUGGAAAAUCCACCAAGGCCCUAGGCCAUAGCAUCAGCUAGAAGGCCACACCGAGUUAGUUACUAUGAUAGCAAUCCAUGUAGCAAAUCUGCCGGAGGUUGUUUUCAGUUCUAAUUGAUAUUUUCCCAUGGUACAAUAUAGUAUAUGGCAAAACUGAUGGGCAUGCUCAAGAGAGAUAAGUAAAGUGGGGAUUGGGUAAUAAAUGAUAUAGCUAUAGUAUGUAGAUGGUGGAGAUAAUGGUUGUGAAAGAGAAUAUAAUCAUAUAUAGUGUGUCACAAUAAUAGUAUAUGUGACCAAACUGCAGCAGCGCCAUAACAAAAUCAUGUCACCCUAGUCUAGUUCACGUCAAAAAUUUAUUUUUCUGCAAGUUAAAUCUUUAAUUAGUUCCCAUGUCCAAAGUUUUGGAUAUCGGAUGUAAAUAAAUCUGAUGGAGCACCGGGAUUUAAAGUUACCGUGGUAACUGAAAAAUGUUGAGCGGUUAAUGAACGAUUUUUUGAAUGAAUUUCGAAUCCAAUAAAAUUUAUUCAAAUUAAAAAAUUCAGGAUAUUUUUGCUCAGUAUGGCGAUUGCUUGUGGGAUACUGAGAUUUGCAGUUGUUGGGCUGUAACCAAAUUUGCCACCCGCUAGCCAAAACCUUGCCUGUCAUUUUCGUCACCUUCUUCUUCGGCUGGGAUUGAUGGCUAGGCACACACGUAUCCACUUUCCACAAAUGAAACUACUAGGUUUACACAAGUUAGUACUAAAUAAAUUUUAAUUGGCAUUGCACUGCAGAAGUUUACAUUUGCGUCUUAAUUAUGAGCUUGCAUUCCUGCCAUGUUUUAAAAGUGGAAACUAUGUCUUGGUGUAGCAUUUCUAAACCUGGUCAAAAUGUCCACAUCUUGUUCCACUAAAUAUAAACGUACUCAUCAUGGCCACAUUUACAUCUUUUCCACGAAAGAUUAAUUGUUCCUUGUACUUCCAUUUUUACACCUUAUUAUUGCCCAGAACUGAAACUCUAGCUAAUCACAUAGUGGCACGUUAAGUGAUUCGCACAUCACUAACUCGUUCUCUCUCUCUCUUUUGCUCAUAAGUCCAUCAUCGACAUCACGUAUACUAGAAAAAGAAAUCAAGGCAAGAACCCUAGAUCAAUCCAUGUACUUUGUCCUAUCUGAAAAAUAUGAGAGAAUCUAUACUACAUUGCAUCAGCAAGAACAUAACUAUAUACUACACUACUACCUCAUACUUUGUCCGGUUGAUUUGAAAUAUGAGAAUCUUUUAGAUUCCGACAGAUAGGAUUGAUUUUGAAGAUUCACAUAGUACUCACUCAAACAGUUAUAUUCUUGCAGGGGUUAGGAGAAUUGUGUGGUAAAAUGUAAUUAAAUCGAUCAUGAGCACUAUGAAACAUUAUAGGAUACCUAAUGACCAUUUAUUUCCUUCCUUUAGAUGUCCACGUAAUUCAAUCUUUGUUUUCAAUGACCACCUCUUACUACUGUGCUUUUUUCUCUAGUGCACCACGCUAUUGACGAAAACUGAAACCUGUGCCAAAUUCUUUACUGCUAGGAGGGUAUCCUAAAAUGGCACAAGCGAGAGAUUAGACAACAACGCAUUUUUUUUCUUUCUCACUCCACAAUGCUACUCGACAACAACCACCUAUAGGAUAUAGCACCGUAUAAUUUGUCCAUCAUCGUGUCAGCAAAAUCUAAAGCUACUUAUUCUAAAAAAUACUUAAAAAAGGAAAGUUGAUGCAUAGAAUUGAAGAUUAGUCGCUGUAAAAUGCAUAAGGAUGACACAGGAAAUAGUUGGAUUCUUUGAAUAAUCAUGAGAAAUUCCUGCUCUAAUUUUGAUUAGUACGUGCAAGAAAACACUCGUACGCACGUUUGCCACAGCUUGCAGCUCACUAUAAAAGCCCCAAAGGUCCCCAGGCCAUAACACCAGCUAGAAGCCACACCAGGUAAGUCAAAGACCAGACACCAGACCACUUCACUCCACGUCCAAAUGGCGAUGACUCUCGAAGAAGUGCUCUCCAAGCAGGCUGCCGACCUAGCCGCCAUCUCGCCGGCGCCGGUGAGGAAGGCCGUGGAUGCACUGGCGCGCAGCAGCCACGCCCGCGCUGCCGCCGAUGCCCUGGUCUACCUCUCUGUGGGCACGACCUGCACGAUGUUCGCGGCCGCCUUCCUCACCAUCUUCGCGGACCUGGCCUGCGCCCGCGGCUGGGGCUGCACCCCGGCCUAUAUCCUGUCCGAGAUAGCAGACUAUCUAUCCACACCUGUCCUGCUUCUCCUGCCGCCGGCGCUCGUGCUCUUCUUCCUCCGCGCCGCCGGCUGCAGGACCAAGGUACGUACGUGCUCAUCACUCACUCUGCUCCAUGGUUCUGCUUCCCGUGAUGCUGAUGAAUUCACUGUGUAAUGUGAUAGGCGGCGGCGGACGCGGAGAGCCUCAUCGUGAAGAAUGACGAGGAGCCAACCCUUCUGUCGCCGUCGCCGCUGGCCUUGGCAAUUCUUUGGCUUUUCAUUGGGUCGGCAUCGAUGGGAACCAUCUCUUUCCUUCUUUUUAAGUGUGGACAUACAGAGAUCUCCGACCUUCUCGGCUACGCGGCUCUCUUGUGCACGUUCAUGUGGGAAGCCCUCGUCUAUGUCCGCGCUGCAGUGGCGCUGUGGAGGAUGAAUCCCGGGCCAAGCAACAUGGUGGCUGCAGAGUAGCCCUUGCGCCGGAUCAUCGACUUACUAAGGUAAGUGGCAUUAAUUAAGCUAAGCCGAACAUCAACAUCACACUUUCUCAAAAUUAAGUAUUGUAGCGGAACAUCGAGUGCUUUUGUACCAACAAAUUGGUAGAAGAUGAUGCGAGUAUAUGUUAAGUCAAGUACAGUAGUACUCCCUCUGUCCCAUAAUAUAAGAACGUUUUUGACACUAUACUAAUGUCAAAAACGUUUUUAUAUUAUGGGACGGAGGGAGUAGAAUUUAUCAGUCGGUUGGUUCUCCGUGUUUGUUAUCAACUGAAUGUGUAAUUGUUGUCAUCAGUUAUCACAAAGCUCCAAUGCUAAUCGAGUGCUUUUGUACCAACAAAUUGGUAGAAGAGGAUGCAAGUAUAUGUUAAGUCAAAUACAGUAGUCUAGAAUUUAUCCGUUGGUUGGUUCUCCACGUUUGCUAUCAACUGAAAGUGUAAUUCUUGUCAUCAGUUAUCAGAAAGGUCCAAUGCUACUCUCUUGUAAACUGCCACGUGUUGGUUGAGAUCAUACAAUAAUAAUUUUUUUUCUUGAUCCUAAUUUUUUGCACUUGAUCUUUCUCUCGUCUCAACUUGAAACACUAUUGAUCCUGAUAUAAUUUCGUCGUUCACCGACCACUAAUUCACUCCACACCCAGUUGGUAGAAGAUGAUGCAAGUAAUGUUCAAGUCAAGUAGUGGAAUGUAUCAGUUGGUUCUGCAUGUUUGGUAUCAACUGAAAGUAUAUAUAAUUGUUGUCAUCAGUCAUCACCAAGCACCAAUGCUACUCUUGUAGUACUAAACUGCCACACGAUGGUAGAGAUUGAUAGGACGAUCUUAUAAUUUUUGUACUUUAUAGUUUCAUUUUGUGCUAAACUGCAAAUGACAUUGAUGUUGACACAAGUUCGUCCUUUAAUCGCCAGGUGCGCAGGAUUUCAAGCCGAAAGCUCCAAGGUGAUGGAGAGUGCUACGCAGUGCAGGAGCGCUGCUGUUUGCCUGUUUCCUACAUCCUUUGAUGCUGUUCUGAAUAAAGAGCGAUGCCGUGUGAUGUGUAGUGAUCUACUAGUACAAUACUAGCUAGUAGUAUGAAGCUUGCUUCAGUUGAUGCUAGUUCAGCGCUGCGCUGAUGCAGUGACUGCAGUGCUAUGGUAGCUUUGGUUGGUGGUUACUCUGAACCGGACCUAUAUCUAACAUAAUGAUUUGUGCCGCUGCAAUUUACCAGUACGUGCCCAUACAUAUGACUAGACGUACGAUCUGAUGCAGAGCGUCCAUUCUAUGUAUGCAAUAAUAGCAUUUUUACCGCCUAUAACUUCGUCCGCGAUUAUAAAUAGCAGGAACGGGAAAGCAGCUAAAAUAGGUUCCUUUUUUACUUCUUUUUUUAAUUUAUGACCAAAGCUAAAAUUGGUUCCUGAUAGUUGUGGGUUUCACAUAUCGUCUUCCGAGAAGGAAGACGUGGUGAUGCACAUGGCCUGCCGACUGCAGCAGCCGAAUGGCAGCUAUGCUACCUGAGAGCAUCUCCAGCCGUUGGCCCCCCAGGGGCGCCUAAAAUCGCCGCCUGGGGUGACCCGGCGAAAAAAAUGGGCCUGGGGACGAGUUGGCCCCCAGCCGCGGGAAAAAAAAUUGUGUAGCAAAUUUACGCAAAGUUCGGCUAAAACACGCCAAAUUUCGGCAAACUUGGGCUUAUAUUCGCGGAUUUAAGUCGAGUAGUCGCCAUUACAUAUAAAAACAAAUAAAAAAAACUUGGUGAAGGCCGAGAAGUCGCCGUCGUCGCCGCCAUCGUCGGCCUUCUCCUCCUUGACUCGGGCGCCCCUGCUGGACCCCUCCCCGGCUGGUGGCGGCGGCGGCGCGUCGUCGUCGUCGUCGCUGUCAUCGAUGAUGACGACUCCUCCUUCGUCGCGGCCUCGGCGGCGCCGCUCGAAGCGCCGCAGGGCGGCGCGCUGGCGCUCCGUCGCCAUCUUGAUGGAGUCCUGGUGUGCCCAUUCAAGGGCCGCGUCAUCGUCGAGCUCGACCUCGCCGUGCUCCGUCUUCACCGGCGCCAGCCCCGGCUCCGUCUUCACCGGCACGAGCCCCGGCUCCGUCUUUGGCUUGACGAAGCGCGGAGGAGGAGCCGACGAGGAGGCGCGCCGGCCGCCCUCGUUGAUGACGAUGCCGGCGCUGCGAGUGCGCCGACCGAGCGGCAUCUCCGCCGCGGGCUCGGCCUUGACGCUGAGCAGCGUCGGAGUGCCGGAGGAGUGGGAGGAGGAGCGGGAGGAGGAAGAGGAGGAGGACGCGCCGAACCUCCUUGGUGCCCAUUGCCCGUCGCGUGGGCGGUGCGCCAGGGCGGCCGCCCUCGGGGGAGGGGGGGGGGGGUACGCCAACGGCGGGUUGUUGCCGCCCUCGAGGUGCGUCAGCACGCCCUCAAGUGUGCGGCCAGGGGCGCCCCACCACAGGUGGCGCCCCUCGCUGUUCUUCACGCCGCCGACCACCGGCGCCCCGUUCGUGGACGCCAGCCGCUGCUGCUGGCGGCGCUCGAAGUACGCCGCCCAAGCCGCGUGGUUGUCGGCGGCGUACUGGGGGAGGGAGAGCUCGGCGUCGGUGAGGGAGGCGCGCACGAUCUCGGCCUCGUCGGCGAAGUAGGAUGGUUUGGCCACGGCGUCGGGCAACGGGGGAAUGGGCACUCCCCCAUUGCUGAGCCUCCAGCCUGUCGACCCGGCGCGCAUGUCCGGCGGCGCCGGGAUGUUCGUCUGGAACAGGAGUCACGACUCCUGUUCGCGGGAAACCGAGGCGUCGGGAGAAGACGAGGCGGACGGUGUCGCUGACGAGGCUGGCCCGCGGCGCUUUCGCGCCAAAAACGAUUCGCCCGGCGCCCCCGAGCGCCCCCAGCGCGCCGGGUUCGGGUUGGGUCCGCCGGCGCCAAUUUCGGCCCGAGCCGGCGAAAAAGGGCCCCUGGGGAUGCGACUGGGCCGAUUUUUGGCGCCGGCGGCAGAAAAAUCGCCGGGGGGGCCUUGUUGGGGGCGCGGCUGGAGAUACUCUGAGGGCGCGUCUAUGUUUCUCUUGACACAAGACACACAUGUGCCUCGCCUCAAGGGUCGCAAGAAUGGGCCGGUCCAAUAGCGUCCCUUCCUUACCUUUAUUUUCUUCGUUCGUUCCCUUGUUUGGUCUAGUUUAUUUGUUCUAUUCGUUUUCCCUUUUUACUUUAUAAAUUUUUGUUAUUUAUAUUAUAUACACAAUUAUGAGUUAAUUUUUUAUAAACGAUCACCGCACAUCUAAAACAUGUUCAUGUAGUGUAAAAGAAUUAUUCGCGGGUUUUCUGUAAAAUGUUCGUACCAUUCAAAAAAAAUGUUCAUGAUAUUUAAAUGGAUAUGAUCAUUAUAUUUUUUAAUGUUCAUGAAAACGUAAAAAAGUGUACAUUGAAUCUGUAAAAAGUGUUUGUAUCAUUUACAAAGUUGUUCAUGACAUUUAUAAAGUGUUUACGUGUUUAAAAAAUAUGUUUCAUGACAUUAUAAAAAAUGUUCUUGAAAUGCAAAAACUUGUUCGCGCAGUUUUAGAAAACUGUUCAUAACAUAUAAAAAACAUGCGUGCCAUUUAAAAAAAUAUCACAAGACAUAAAGAUGUUUGCAGUUUUCUUUAGUGGUGACAUUUUAUUAAUUGUUCAAACAUGUGUUUAAAAAUAUUCAGUGUGUAUUAAAAAGUGAAAAUGUGCAUUUUACAAACGGUCAACAUGUAUUCGAAAAAUGUUUAACGCUCAUUAGAAGAAUGUUCAACUUGUAAAAAAAUGUUCAGCAUGUAUUCAAAUAAAGUCUGACAUGUUUGAAAAAUGGAAACAAAAUGAAAUGCAAAAGAAAAAAUGAAUAGAAACAAACCUCAAGAGAACUAAAAGGAAACAAAUGAAAACCAACAGAGAAAACACACAGAAAAAAAUGUAAAACAAUUAAGAAAAACCAAAAAAAUCUAUGUGAAAGGUUUUAAAACCACCACGUGAUGGUCUAUAGAACCUUCCUAAAGCUGCUCUAUUGGGCAGACCCACUAUAGAAGUCACACAACAAAGUGCAGAGAUGAGACGAUACUACAUGUCGUUGUAAGUAAGAUAUAGCACCGGCGGUCGAUUGCUGAUGGAGCAACGACAGUGUGCAUUGAUGCCAUAGAAAGGGCCGGGAGUGUGUUGAUGAGGCAGGCCUUUAUUGGGUUUAUUUUUCAGUCUUGAUUGAGCGGAGGCACCAAAUUUAUCAAGCUCUCCCAGGCAUCGGAACAGGGGAAAGGCCUACACUAGCGGAAACAUUACCCAAAUAGAAAAUUACCAAGUUGUCUUUGUGGUAAGCUCUCGGCCUCACAAUAUUAACUAUCAGAUCAACUUAAUACUACACCUUAAAAUCUAUAGGAUGAUGUCUUGCCAGUAGGUAACGUGCACAAUAUAAAUGACUUUCACGUUGUAACACAUGGGCCGAUCGUCUCCAUGUGCGGUACACGAGGGGAGUGUGAGCAGGUGGCGUCAGUUGGACAGAUAAAAACGGAGGGGGGAGAAUGUGACAAAGCAGCUAAACCUUUGAAAAAAUAGCAUGGCUGCUCAACAAAUUUGAUGAUCCAUUAAUUUAACAAAGUUACAUGUUGGACUCUGUUUUCGCUCAGAAAUUAUAUAUCACCAUUUUACAAUCUAUAUAUAGCAAAGCUGCUGGGCAUGAGAUAAGUCAAGCUACUGGGCAUGAGAUAAGUCAAGUAGCAGUUGCGUAAUAAAUGAUAGCCAUAGUAGUAGUUGGUGGAGUUUAUGGUUGUGAUAGACAAUAUGGCCAAAUGUAGUGCGUCAAAAUAAUACAUGUGACAAAGUGCAGCACGGCCAUCACAACAUCAUAUCACCGUUCUAAUUCUAGUUCUAACCUUUAGGUCCCUUGUGUCACUUUAGUGACCUUCUUAAAAUGGGAUCGAUGGCUAGGCAUGUUGCUAUUCUCCACAAAUAGACUACUACGAUUACAAAAGUUGAUAUACUAACAACAUUUAAUUAGCAUUGCACCACACAUGUUUCUGGGUGUCCUCUAUGGUUGCAUCUUAUUCAUGAAUUUUCAAUCCUGACAUGCUUUCAACAAGGAGAAACUAUGUCGUAGUGUAGCAUUUCUAAAUCUAGUCAAUAUGUUAACAUCUUGUUCCACUAAAGAUAAAUACACUCGUCACGGGCACGUUUGGGUGUCACCACAGGUUCAAAGCUUAAUCAUAAAGCUAUCCAUUCACUGCAAUUUUAUUUUGUUUUCAUCAUUAAUUUUACCUUGUACUUCCAACUGAAACUCAAGCUAAUCACACAGUGGCAUGAAAAGAGAUUAACCGGACAGUGUUAUUCUCGGAAGAGUUAGGAGAAACCUUUGUGUUUAAAAAUGUAAUUAAAUCUUUCAUGGUCACUAUGAAACAUUACCGGUACCUGUAAUGAAAAUUUUCUUUCCCUUGUUAAUUAAGAUGUCCAUAUAAUUCUGCCUCUAUUCUCAAUGGCCACCUUUUACGACUUUGCUCUUUUCUGUAGCGCACCACACUAUCGCUGAAAAACCGAAACCUUCCCAAAGUCUCUACUAGGAGGGUGUCUUAAAAUGGCAGAAACAAGUGAUUAGACAAUGUUGCGUCCUUGUCGUUCUCACUCCACAAUGCUUGUACUUGACAACAACCACCUAUAGGCUAUAUAUAGCACCGAAUGAUUUUUCCAUCAUCGUGUCAGCAAAAUCUAAAGCUACUUUUCAGAAAAAAGGGAAAGGCGAUACUGGUUUAACACUAGUGCAGAACCGUGCUAUAGCACCGGUUCGUAAGGCCCUUUAGUGCCGUUUCUGUAACCGGCAGUAAAGGGUGGGGACUAAAGCCACCCCCCUUUAGUACCGGUUCAACACGAACCGCCACUAAAGGGCCACCACGUGGCACGAGCCAGCGCCGGGGGCGGGAAGACCUUUAGUACCGGUUCGUAACACCAACCGGUACUAAAAAGUUUGGGUUUUUUUGUUUUAUUAUUUAUUUUUCCUUUAAUUUUGUGUGUUUCCAUUUAAUUUAGAGAUUGUUUUUACAUUAUAAUGAGUUAUUAAAUCACUAGGUGAAAGAAACCGCGGAUUAGUUUUAUGUGGAUGGAUCCUAAGUGAUCGAUAAUCCAUAUUACUUGAUCACUUAGGUAGGAUCCAUCCAGUUGAAACUAAUAUCCGCGAUUCUUUCAUAAUUGAUAUAUAUAACUCAUCAUCAUCAUCAUCAUCAUAUUAAUAUUAAAACUCUUGCAUCAUAUCAUCACCAACAACACUCUAGGUAAUCAUCAUCAUAGUCAUUACCACUAUUUAAUCAUCAUAGUCAUUACCGCUACACCACCAACACUAGCUUAAAGAAGAAACAUUCACUUGUACCAGAAGCAAAGAUACCAUCGAGUUCAACAUGGUCAUGAGAUUAUAAGCGUUCAUAAGACCACAAAAGCAAAUCACUUUGAGAUAGAUUAAUUUCAGGACGAAGAACAGGGACAUGAGAGGACAAGUACUAAGAGCAGGAACUAGCUAAUCACUCCUGCUGCUCUCUCUCGGGUAAAAUAGCAUAGAACAUGUGUAGCUCUCCUGAUUCAUCAUAUUGGAGCAUGCAGAUGAACCUGUCUCCUAAUCGUGGGUUGCGCUUCUGAUUGCUGCCCCCUAGUACUUCUCUGCGAUCGUUCACAAUUUUGCUCCAGUCUUUCACGAUUAAGCAUUCCUCGGUUUUAGAAAUCCUGAAUGCACUCAUGUGUGAUGUAGGAUGUCUUGGCCGUAAGCUAACCAUUGACAUGCGACCUUUAGUACCGAUCCAGUGAGGCACAACUAUCAUCAGGACUCCCUAUUGAAGAACAUCGUAUAGUAACAUACUUAGCAAUGAAGUUUAGCUUGAAAAAUAAUGUAUGCAAAAGAUGCACCGAGGACAAAUAGUAAAAAUAUUACCAUCUUUCCUAAAUAGAUGUGACCGUAGUUCAAUACGAACACAAUUGGUCACACGUUUUGAGUACUAAGAUUUUCAAAUUCAGGAAAAUAAUUUCUCUUAACAGCAUCAAGAUCCUCAAGCCAUGAAACAUAAUGACUUAUCUCCUCGCAGUUUAGUUCAGCCUCGGGACAGUUGACGGUCAUGUCUACCAAGCGCCGAACAUGUUUGCUUGAAUGGAAAUAAGCCGUUAAUAGAAAUUAGUUGUCAACUAUUUUUGAAUAAACAAUAUCGAAGACAUAAAUAUGGUUGAGAAACUCACAUAAUGGUAGAACUGGAGGCGUCUGCACAUCGACCAAAAUGUCUCUAUUACCUUCAAUAUCAUCUUCCGGACGAAUAUCAAAGGUGAUAACCAUAUCAGGCUCAAAUGCAUAAGCCUUGCAUAGUGCUUGCCAAAUUUUGCAUUCAAAAUAUGUGUAGGUGUCUGCAUUAUAUAAUUUGACGUUGAAAGUAUAACCAUGAUUGGUCUUCAAGUAAACUAUCUUUACCUCCAUAGUUUUCUUAAGAUUGAAACCUAUCUUAUCCAAGACAAAAAUUCUUGCAUGGCAGGGGAUACGCUAGUAGAAUAGUAAAAAUUUAAAAUUAUAAGUUGAAGCAAAUGAAGUAUAAGUCAUGCUUAAUUAUGAAAAAAGACUUGUCAUUGUGACUUACUGUAUCCACUUCGAAGGUCUCAUCUAGCUUGAUGCUGAAGCGCCUAUCAUCAAGUAGGAAAUUUCUGUCGCACAGGACGCGCUCGUCUUCGCAGUAUUCGCACAUACCGAAAUCGUUUUCGUCGUCAGACGAUAUUUCCUAUGUUCAUAGUUGAAACAUUAAUUGAUAAACACUUACUAGUUCUAUCAGUUCAACUAAUUCAACUAGUUCUAUUAAUUCAACUAUUCCUAUUAAUUCAACUAAUUAAGCACUUACUAAAAAUAAACUAGUUCUAUUAAUUUUGUUACUAAAAAUAAAGUAGCUAGUUAUAUACAGUAAACCUUUAAUUAGAUGAUCAAAUCUCAUAUACCNNNNNNNNNNNNNNNNNNNNNNNNNNNNNNNNNNNNNNNNNNNNNNNNNNNNNNNNNNNNNNNNNNNNNNNNNNNNNNNNNNNNNNNNNNNNNNNNNNNNNNNNNNNNNNNNNNNNNNNNNNNNNNNNNNNNNNNNNNNNNNNNNNNNNNNNNNNNNNNNNNNNNNNNNNNNNNNNNNNNNNNNNNNNNNNNNNNNNNNNNNNNNNNNNNNNNNNNNNNNNNNNNNNNNNNNNNNNNNNNNNNNNNNNNNNNNNNNNNNNNNNNNNNNNNNNNNNNNNNNNNNNNNNNNNNNNNNNNNNNNNNNNNNNNNNNNNNNNNNNNNNNNNNNNNNNNNNNNNNNNNNNNNNNNNNNNNNNNNNNNNNNNNNNNNNNNNNNNNNNNNNNNNNNNNNNNNNNNNNNNNNNNNNNNNNNNNNNNGACGGGCCGGGGGCAGCGCGCGCGAUUGACGAAUGGGGACGGGCGUGCGCGACGGGGGCGGCGACGAGGACGGGGACUGCGAUGGCGACGGGGACGGGGACGGGCGCGCACGACGGGGGCGGCGACGAGGACGGGGACGGGCACGCGCGAUGGGGGCGGCGACGGGGACGGGCGCGACGACGACGCAGAUGAAGAAGAAAUUAACGUAAAUUUUCGUAAGCGCUAUAUAUAUAGGAGGGGCCUUUAGUACCAGUUGUAGCCACCAACCGGUACUAAAGGUCAAAUUUGGCCAGGCCAAACGGCGGGAAGGGCACCCCUUUAGUACCGGGUGGUGGCUCCAACUGAUACUAAAGACCACCCCCCUUUAGGGGAUACGCUAGUACUAAAUUUGGAGCCACUAACUGAUACUAAAGGUGUGCGCUGGCGCAGGUGCGGUGCGGCAAGUUUAGUUCCACCUCGCUAGCCGAGGAGCGUCCGCACUGGUUUAUAAGCCCCAGUGCGGUAGCUCUCUCGAGCUCCUCUCUAUAGCAGGCUUCUGGGCAUAACUUUGCCGCGCUGCCCUGUGGGCCUGCUGGGCCUUACGGGCCUGCAUCCAUGCCCAAGGCCAAGCAGGCCCACUGGGCAGCGCGCAAAUUUGUUUUUUUAUAUUUUUUCUUUCUUACUUUAUUUAGUUUCUUUUAUUUAUUUCUGAGUUGUUUUUUUGCUGUAUUUAGAGUUUCUUUGUGAAUAUUUUUGCUUUAGGUACAAAAAAUUAGAAACUUUCUGUUAGUGCCAGUAGUUUUCAAAUUUGAAUAGUUUAAAUUUGAAUUAUUUAAAAUUUGUGUGAAUCACUAGUUUGUCAAUAACUUAACUUUAAAAAUAGAAUUUUUAGUGAUUCUUUUUUCUUAUGUUUAAUAUUAGUGUGUUUUAUCAUUAUAUUCAAAUUGAUAAUAUGUCUGGAGUUGUAAUAAGUUAAAAAAAUGAAGUGCCUUUGUGACAGAUAAGUUUUCGUCCGAAACACUGAUACUUCGAAAGAGAUUGUCCAGUUUGUACACGAAGUGCAUCCAGUUUUUGCCGUAAGCCUCUCUACUUUUUUGCACAUGCUAUGUGGGUGAAAUGAUGAUACCAUGCCAAGUUUCAACAUUUUCAGAGUUAAUUUGUAGUGCUUUUCAAUUUCAAGGUCAUUUAGCUCAAAACAAAUCAGUAAAUGCAUGAAAAAUAACAAACGAUGUCAGAAAGGGUUGAAAGUUGAUGACGUGGCUUUGAAUGGUGCAUACUGAAUGCAAAAAAAGUCUGGAGUUGUAAUAAGUUAAAAAAAUGAAGUGCCAGCCUUUGUAACAGAUGAGUUUUCGUCUAACAGAUUGUGUAAACAUGUAAAAAUGUAAAAAUAUAAAUAAAAAACAUUGAUCAGUAGCGCCUUUCAGCCAAAACGCGCUACUGCUAUGUGUAAACAUGUAAAAAUAUACAUCAAAAAUACAUUGAUCAUUAAUGAUCUUUUUUGUAGAAUCUGAAUUGUCAAUAAGAAUCUUCCCCGGUUUAAGAACCGAUGAAGAUUCCUAUUGCGGCCACAGAUCCUACACAUAGAGUUCAAUGAAGACCAAUUGGUUGUGAUAGUUUGAGAAGUAACAUAUUUAAGGUGGUAAAAACCCUGUUAGCGGAGCAAGGUGGGACUAAAAAACCGUUGCAUGGCGAAUCAACUAAAAAACUUUACUACCGGUUUGUGGCAUGAACCGGUACUAAAGGGGCUGGCGGGGCCCAGCCUGCCAACAGCCUGCCACAGCCUCUUUAGUACCGGUUGGUGCCACGAACCGGUACUAAAGAUUUGUCACGAACCGGUACUAAUGAGCGCUGCCCGCCUAGCCGUUGGAACCGGCACUAAUGGUCACAUUAGUGCCGGUUCAGCUACAAACCGAGACUAAUGUACUUCACAUUAGGCCAUUUUUCGACUAGUGUAACUCCACACACUUGGACUACCGACCAUUCAAACAUGAUGAGAAACUUGUUAGGUUCCUACAUAAGAAUAUAAGAUCUGUAGUGACUGUAAAAUGCAUAAGCAGGACACAUCGAAUAAUUGGAUUCUUAGAAAGAUCAUGAAAAAUUCCUGCUUCAAAUUUGAUUAUGUGCAACACUCCAUCGCCGCAGCUUGGAGCUCACUAUAAAAGCCCCCAAGGCCAGCUAGAAGGCACACCGGCUCACCGACCAGACCACUUCACUCCACAAACAAAUGGCGAUGACUCAUGAAGAAGAGAUCUCCGAGCUGGCUACCAAGGUAACCGUCUACGUGCUCUGCGUGGCCGCCCUCCUCGCCUUUGCCGUGGACCAUGCCUGCGCCCACGGCUGGGGCUGCACCGUGGCCCAUGUCCUGUCGAAGAUACCGGACUAUCUAGCCAUACUCGUCCCGCUUUUCUUGCCGCCGGCGAUCCAGCUCUUCUUCCUCCGCGCCGCCGGCAAGGUAUGUACUCGUCACUCACUCUUUUCCAUGCCUCUCUGUUCCAUGGUUUUUGUUAGAAUAAAUUCAAGGCGUACCGUUAAUCAUCUGAGGCCAAGUAAUCACACGAGCACGAUACCGAGAUUUGUUAACGAGGUUCACCGAUAUGGCUACAUCCCCGGGCUUGACUACGGGCGCUCCUCCUCGUGACACCGUCACAAUACCGCACACCGGCCAUCCGGGCGCCGCACACGCCGCCGGCUCCCCCUUGCGCGCCUGUGCUAUUAUGUUGGCAUAGGUUACAUCGUGUGUCUACCCCCGCUAUAUAUGAGAGGCCUAGGAUACAAGUGUCCUACUAGGACACGACUUCAUAUCCUAUGUAAACACAAUACUACUCAGAGUCCAACUAUAACUUACCUUGUACACAAUAUUCGACACAACUCUAACAAACUUCACCUUGGCGAAUAUUUUCCACCACCUUGAAUUCGCCCAUGCGUCAAACUUCCAUGUACAUUGGACUUGAGCUUAUCCCAUGAGCACCGCUGCUACUCCAAAGACUCCAUAUUACUCCACCUACAACUUGUAGUCCCUCCUGAUCAUAGUCAACACUCGAGCAAAUUUAAGUUCCUUGUUAUUCUAGUUUGUGCUCCCAACUUCCAGAGUAUCCGUCCAAUGCCAUCACACAUCGAUCACUGACCCGCGUGAAAGUAAACAACUCACAUAUUGGGUGUCACACAUAAGAGUUACCUGAACUCAACAUCACCGCUCUUCCUUGACCGCCGGUCUGAAACUUGAAGGAAUUUCACCAUUGCUUCUAGUCAUUCCGAGUCAAAUUCGCAGUUGUCUCACCACAUGUAUGACCACCAGAGCCCUGGUCCGUCUCCAUGUCCCGUGCAUACCGCACGCCUCGCCGCUAUUACCUCGUCGAGCUUCCGCUGUCCCGGUCGAGUCUCAAGGGUCGGGAAACCACACCACUCAACCCCACUGCAGAGUACCACCGAUCAUCACCGACCGAUGACGAGUUUCACGCUUUCAUCAGACCACUGGGCUCCAGUCCGAAUUACGUGUCCCUCGCUUUUCCCCCUUACUGAAUAGGCUUCGAUUCCAUGGAUCAUUACAUCGUAGCCCCUCAAUCCAGCUCCACCUUCAACAUGACUCCAUGGUAGAAGAUCAGUCCACCCUCGCGCCCCGUCAACUUCAAGCUCACAUGUGCACCGUCUUGAAUCAACCCCGCGCCAUAGUCUUGUCGAAGCCACACAAGCCCACAGACCUGUGCCACGUGUUUCCAUGCCCCAGAAGUCGAUCACCAUCAGCAUCACGCUCCUAUGUCGUCGUCGCCGAUCCCACCACCGUCUUUUGUUCCAACCGACUUGCGUCGAUCCGUCAGACUGUCUUGUCCGACCCAGCCGAACAUAUCCGACUGCAACCAUGCUCCACCCUGCACCAUGACUGCACGCACAUCUGUGCAUGUCUUGGACGCCAUGCGUAUGCAUGAUCUUCACAAUGCACUUCGAGGCUCAUCUGAACCAUAUAUGCACGUCGCCAAUCUGCUAAACUCCUGGUAAAACACCAUACGCAAUUUGCAAUACAUCAGAAAACUGCUUCCAGGGAAGCUCUCGUGACUGUACCAAGUGUGCCGCCACACCUCCCAAUGCUCCUUUUCUGAAUCCAAUUGUUGUCCAUGCUAACGUCAAUUACCAUAGUGUUGCAGAUUGCCCCUUUUUUCUCAAACAAAUCUCCGGUCCACCGCAACAACGUGCGUACAGCAGCCCCUGCACCCGUCCAACUUCCUGUACGUGCACAUAGGGCUGCAAACGAGUCGUGUUCGAGCGAGUUGGCCUAGGCUCAGCUCAACUCAUACUAAAAUUCGAGCGAGCUCAAAAUGUGCGAAGCUCAAGGUCGAGCUACAGAAAGUGGCUCUUGCUCAGCUUGUAACGAUCUCGAGUCGAUCUCGAGCUAGUUUCGAGCUAAAUAAGAUGAUUUUUAAAAUCAUUUAAGGUAAAUUUUAAAGAAAGAUAGGCCACAACAAAACAGAAAAAUCACUAUAAUUUUGACUUAUUCUUUCUCAAGUGAAGACUAGUAUUUAACAACAAGAGAUCAUAGAUAGAAGGCGGCGAAGGUGCACCAGCUCUGAAACUUUGACCAAAAUAACAAGAUAUUGAACACACGGUUGGCCACGUGAUGAGAAUAAAUUUUCUUCAUGCUUAAUUUCCAUGUUUGCUAGUAGGUAAAGUGAAGAAAAAAAAUCGUACAUAACAUAUAUGGAAAUGAAUGAUCCUAAUUCUUGGCAAUAGAUAUGAAGGUUAUUUAAUAUACUUAUAUGAUAUCGAGAUAUCGAGCUAAAAUCGAGCGAGCCAAUGCUGGCUCAAGAUCAGCUCGUUUCUCGAUCGAGCUAUAUAAAGUGUUCAUACUCAGCUCAUUUUUUUUCGAAUCGAUCUCGAGUCGAGCUAAAAUAUGAGUCAAUCUCGAGUGGCUCACGGGCCUCGAGCUUUUCUUGCAGCCCUACGUGCACACCAGCCGAUCCGCCUUGGUCACCCAGUCCCACGGCUGCUCAAGGGCCUAGCCCCCAAGCACGCACCACCAAUCCCCACUUGGGCCAGGCUCCCACGUCCUAAGCUGAUGCCCACGAGCCGUCUUGACAUCCUGUGACCGAACUCUCAUCGACUCCUACUUACGCUGCAAGAAAAGCUUGAGGCUUGUGAGCCGCUCGAGAUCGACUCGUUUUUUGGCUCGACUCGAGAUCGACUCGAAAAGAAAUGAGCUGAGUUUGAACACUUUAUGUAGCUCGACCGAGAAAUGCGCCAAUCUUGAGCUAAUACUGCCUCACUCGAUUUAAGCCCGAUAGCUCGACAUAAUACCAUUAUGUUAAAUGAUCACGCCAUAUAUUAAAUGGAAAUAAAAUAAUUUGUUACUACCAUAUAUGAUGUGCGUGAUUUUUCUCCCUUUUAUUUACGAGCAAACAUGGAAGCUUAAUUAAGUGUAGAGAAGAUUUAGGUUUAAUUAUGGUACGUGCUCGACUACGUCUUAAAUUUCCUAUUGUUUUGGACAAAAAUUUCCCAGCAUAUGCACCUUUGUUUUCUUGUUUUUUGUCCACAAAGACCAUCAUCUAUUGCUAGUUCUCCCAAGAGACCAAGAUGAGCCCUUGCCCUACAAAGUUGUGUCGUGUUGUGUCCUUUUCUAGUUUGAAUAAUCACCCUAGAUUUAUAAUUUUUACCGUCUCAUUUAGCUCGAAACUAGCUCGAGAUCGAUUCGAGAUCGUUACAAGCUGAGCACGAGUCAUGUUCUAGAGCUCGAUCUUGAGCUUCACUUAGUUUGAGCUCGCUCGAAUUUUAAUAUGAGUUGAGCCGAGCCAACUCCAACUCGCUCGAACUCGACUCGUUUGCAGCCCUACUCCUACUGCUGCACGAUUCGCGAAGAAUUCCGCGUGCUUCUGCUUACGUGACACGCCGCCGCCGCCGCUGCCUUUCGAUCUCGCCGAAACCGGCCACAUGCUCACUACUGGAAUCAACAGCUUUGCCAAGUGCCGUAAACACUCGGCGAAGGCCCAAAAAAACUCGGCAAAGCCUUUGCCGAGUGUUGCACUCGGCAAAGGACACUCGGCGUACAGCCUUUCGGCAAAUAGAAUUUCGCCGAGAACCAACCAUCGCGCACUCGGCAACGCCUUUGCCGAGCGUUUUUUGUGGUACUCGGCAAAUAUUGGGACUCGGUGAAACAUAACUAACGGACGACGGAAACGGCAAAAAUUGGUACAGUUGCACUCGGCAAAGGUGAUGGCUUUCUCGAGUUGUACACUCGGUAAAGAUGUUCAGCAAAAUUUAAAAAAAAACGCCGCCGUCAACGGCGACGUCGAUUCAUGCCAGCGAGUUACAGUGGCCCACAGCUCGCGAGUCACCACUCGUUGCGCUCUCCUCUGCCAAGCUAGCCUGUCCGCUGCUUGUGUGCUUGCUUGGCCGGUCCGUUGUUGGCUUGCCGGAGCGUGCGGGUGCUGCUGCUCAGCAAGAAGAUGCGUCUAUGCGAGAUGAGCCUGGCCGCCGCUCUUGGUGGCGCCGUCGACGACGCAUGUGGCUUGUGGCCUCCGUGGUUGUUGGUGCCGCCGCUCGCCGGCGUGUGGUUGGUGAGUUGUUGCCUUCCCGCCGCGUGCCGCUGCCGCUUGCAGCUGCCUCACAUCUGCUGCUUCGCUGCUACGUGCAUGAGGGAGCUUGGUGGCCGGCCGCCGGCGUACGUGCUGCUAGCUGCUGCUACUUUGCUGCUUGAGAGAUGGCAUGCGGGCGAGCCGGAGAACGAACGGUGCGCACCUGAAGCUGGAGGUGCUCAAGCACUACGCCGGCAGGCUGCUGCAGCUGCUCGAGUCCUCCGCCGGCGUGCUUCGAAUCUCCAUGGCUGUGUGCCUGUGUAUGGGAGUGUGGAUGUGUGAGACGGUGAGAGAGAUGAGAGGGACAGAAGAUAAGGUGUGUGUGGCUGUGCGUGGCAUGCAUGUGUGUUUGUGUUUGUUUGUGAUAGAGACGUGUGUGGUUCUGAUGCAUGGAGAGAAAGCAUGAGAUAUGAGAUGUGUGGUUGUCUGCUUGCCAUGUAAUCGAUCCGUGGCACUAGCUCCCAACCAAUCAGAGACAGGCACAUUUUACCGAGUGUUGCUCUCGGAAAAGACCUGGUAAAAAAAUGCAUAAAAUCAUUUAAAUUGUGGAAGUAGCUAAAAAACUAAAAAAUUCAUAAAACGUCGGAAUUAAGCAUAAUGUAAGGUCUACUUACUUGAAAGUUGGAGUGGUACCAUUUUGCACCUUGCUUUACAAAAAAUACCAUUUU
Molecule: long non-coding RNA, 68271 nt
Filed under: Triticum aestivum (bread wheat)
Lineage: Eukaryota; Viridiplantae; Streptophyta; Magnoliopsida; Poales; Poaceae
Description: long non-coding RNA (TAES_LNC017355)
Rfam family: MIR1120/MIR1122 microRNA precursor family (bases 52894-52980)
Source: RNAcentral